CAAGAAGUACUACUCAGAUAUUGCUGGACCUGAGUAUGCUGCCAAGUACAAGACCCUGAUCUACCUUGCUGGGUCUGCUUCGGCAGAAGCGAUCGCUGAUGUUGCUCUCUGCCCCAUGGAGGCAGUGAAGGUGAGAGUCCAGACACAGCAAGGGUUCGCUAGGGGUUUGAGUGAUGGAUUUCCGAAGUUUGUCAAAUCUGAAGGUUAUCUGGGGUAUGACCUUUUCUUACUCCUGCUUGUCAAUUUUUUUGUUGAUUGGUCUUUUUUUUUUUUUAAUUGUUAACUUUUCUUAUCUCGAUGUGCUGAAAUGCAGAUUGUAUAAAGGAUUGGUUCCACUUUGGGGGCGUCAGAUUCCAUGUAAGAAGAUCUUCCUUUUUUUCCAUUUACAGAUGCUGCUUUACUAUAUCUUCUUUUUUUUUUUUUUCCUUUUUUCUUUUUGUUCUGCUUGAUUCCAUUAUAUGUGCAAGCCAUGUUUUUUAUGCAGUUUGUGAAGUGCUGAUGUCUGGCAUUACUUGCAUAAUUGUAAAAGCUUAGAUGUAUGUGUAGUUCUUAGUUUUUUCGACUAUUGAAAUGCUGACUAGUUAAGCUGGUCAACUUGACAAGAGUAAUUUAGAUGCUUUAAAACUGAUUUAACUGAUUAGUUUAAAAGGAUUGUUAAGGCAUUACAUGUAAUUUACCAUAGGAGUAUAUCUUAUAUGCUCAAGCGCACAUUUUCCAUGAUUGUGUUGUUUUCCAUGAAUGUGUUAUUUCAAAUGAGAAUGUUUUUUGUUGUUCUGUGUUUUUUUACGAAUAUGGUUCUACAUAUCUUAAGAUCAACUAUAUUCAAGACAAAAUACAUUUUAAAAACACACACAUGGUAUGGAUUUUUUUUCUUUAAUAUUCUAGUUUCAUAGGUUUUCUAAUUGUUGCUUUGAUAUUCACUGGAAUAUAUCCCCAUAUCAAAUGCUGCUUUAGAAUUUUAAGCACUGGAAUACAAUUCCUUCGGUAACUGAGCUGAUUUUCAUUUGCCUUUUUCUUUAUCCCGUGUCGCUGCAAGGAUUGUUAGCUUCCACACUAAAUGCAUGACCGAAGCAAGUUUUAGCUUUUCCUAUAUCAGUUGCUUUUAAAGAAAUUUCUUUAUUAAUGUAAAUCACUUUCAUAUGAGGUAUGCAUGGAUGUCUGAUGAAGACUUUAGCUUAUCAGUUGUACAUAAGGGUAGAGAAGGAAAGAUGUUGUAACUAGCAUCAUUCAGGAUGUGCAUCCACAGCGGUUGAAAGGAUUCUAUUACUCUCUUCUUUCUCCUUUGUGUCGUAUAGACAGUUUAACUCGCUCUUUUCUUUUGUGCAAGCGCAAACUAUGAAAAAAAAAACUGAUACCGAGGUAAAUCACAUUCUCACUGAGAGCAAUGAGAAAAUUUGGCUCAUAAGUCAGCUGACAAUUGGAUUCGAGCCUUUCUUUCUUGUGAACCUUGAUUUGCAUGCAUGUCCUUUCAAGUGUGCACUUGUUUGUGAGGGCAAAUUUGCUAAGCACUUUAGGAUAGCCCUUUUUCGCAAGCAAGGGAACAUUCAAGAGUUAUGUUGCUAUGGGCACACGCACAUGCAUGUAUGUAUGUAUUUAUGUAGAUGACAAGUUUCCUUUGAACUUCAUGGUCAAAGGCCUUUUGCAUAGUUUAUACACAUACCUAUGACUUUUUCCCUUUUUGGAUUCCUUUUGUCCCCUCUACUUGUUGCAAUCUACCUCUAUAUUGAUGCACAUAGUUCUUCUUGAAAUCUGUACAUGACUGUCAAGAUUUUAUGUGUGCAUAUAUCAAAUUAUCCUCUCCUCUUGAGUCUUCUCCUGUUUGAUUUUAAAUGGAGUUGCACUCCAACGAAGUGGUGUACCCAUUCAACUUUGAUGCAUUCUCAGCCCACUCUCCAUGCAAGUACUGGUGUUAUUAAUCUUAUUUCAGUUGCCCCUUAUUUUGCAGAAAAACAAAAUGGUUCUUAUUAUGGCUGACAAUUUUUUACUUUUUUGGUUGAUGGACAUCUGAUUUGCUUGCCAAACUUGUGAUGGUUGUUUCGUUCGAUAAGCUUGAGGGUUUGCAUGAUGUCUCAAAGUAUUGUGACUUUUAAGGUCUUUACUGAUUUUAGCCUUCAUAUGUUUGCACAUAUCCUUCACCAUCUUAAAUGUCUUGCAAAGCUCAGCAGGAAUGCUAAUGCAUUGUGAACUAGCUACAAAUUUUGCCUUCGUUUUUCACCGUUUUGUUGCAACCUAUGUUUCAUUUCUUGUGCAUGUAGUUCUUGUUGGAAUCUGUUUGUGGUUGCAAGAUUUGAAAUGUGCAUAUUAGCAAAUAAUCCUCUUUGCUUGGGACUUCUUCGCUUGAUUUUGCAUGGAGUUGAACUCCAAUGAAGUGGCUAAAAUACUAUUAACCACUCAGGUGUGCCAAUCUUUUGACCACUAUUUUUUUUUUCAUCUCUUUUAUCUAUUUUUAUUUUUUUUUUUGACCGUGCAUAUGCCCUGCAUUACCUGAGAUGCUUCUAUUUUUUUUUUUUUCAUGAUGGGCACUCUUCCCAUCUGUUUAUUGUCAACUAAAACAGGGCGUAUCUAAUAUAUUUAUGUUAGUAAGAUGUUCCUCGCCUGUCUCAGUUUGUAUCAAGAUGCACUAUCCCUACUUUUGGAAUUAAAAUGUGUAUUUAUUGUUUAUAUGCCAAUAUAAAAGAAUAAAAGGAAGGCCAUUGCUUUGUUUCCUUUCGUUUAUUCAAAUGCUAAUGAUGCUUGUCAUUCACAGCGAGGGUAUAUGGGCAACUGAUUUGAGACAUUUGUAAUUGAAUUGCAUAUGCAGAUACUAUGAUGAAAUUUGCUUCUUUUGAAACUAUUGUUGAGCUUCUCUACAAAUAUUCAAUUCCCACUCCAAAGGACGAGUGUAGCAAGACACUACAGCUAGGAGUGAGCUUUGCUGGAGGGUACAUCGCUGGGGUCUUCUGUGCUCUUGUCUCACACCCGGCGGACAAUCUUGUCUCGUUUCUUAACAAUGCUAAGGGUGCCACCGUUGGUGAUGUAAGUCUUGCACAGUUAGUUCUUAUUUAUCAUGCAUAAUGUUGAUCCACUAUAUUUUUUUUUUUUGUAUUUUGUUUUUUUUAUUAUUGUUCUCUUGAUUGAUUAGGCUGUGAAGAAGCUUGGGAUGUGGGGUCUUUUCACCCGUGGGCUUCCUCUUCGUAUUGUUAUGAUUGGUACGCUGACUGGAGCACAAUGGGGAAUUUAUGAUGCAUUCAAAGUCAUGUUUGGCCUGUAAGCACCUCUUGCAAACUUAUAGCGUCCUCAUUGUAAGAUAUGCAGCAGUACUAUAUUAUUAAAGAUCAAUUCCUAAUAAUUUGAAUCUUUUGCAGGCCAACCACAGGUGGAGUCGCUCCUGCUGCAGCCCCCGCCCCAGGGAUUGCACAGCUGAAAGCUUGUGCAUGAUUUUCUAAUGGAUACAAAUAAUAACAGAUUUGUGACAUUAAUUUGUCCAUUUUGAACGGCAGUGUAUUAUUUGUCUUGAAGCAACUACAUCGCUUGUUUUGAUAUUUUUGGGGGGUUUUGAUCGCAUCCCUUUGCCCUGCGAGCUCUGUUGUUAGACUCGUAUUUUGUUAGAAUCAUACGAGUCGGGAGUUGACUCGUAUGAUUCGCGAUGAUUCACAAGACCGAGUCGAACCGGAAUGGUGAAUCAAAAAAUAAGAAGAAUCGCAUCUGAAUCGCGAGUCCGUCGGUUGAAUCGUGCAACUUGAGGGAUCAUCCGAUACCGUCGAGUCGGAAAAGAUAAAUUUCGAUGAUGGUUAUUCACCAUUUUUAGAAGUCGAAGAAUCAGAAAUCAAAAUAGAAAUCAAAUCAGACAGAGAAGCAAAUCAAAGAGAUUUUUCACCUUAUUCGACUGUUUCUCCAUCUUCUCUGAUUGCUUCAAGCCUUCGAAGACUAUGGCGAGAAGAGGAAGAGGUCGCAUAGGGAAGAUGAAGCUUCGAAGUCUUUGAAGCAUCGCCACAAGUUCGCCAUAGGUCCGAUAGGUUCUUCUUUCCCAUUAUUUUUUUUAUUUCUCUUCCUCGAUCUUUCUGUUUCUCUUUCCAAAAGUUUUUUUUUUUAUCAAACCAAAGCCUUCUUCUUCCCCGAUCUCUCUAUUUCUCCUUCGAAACCCCAAAUUUUUUUUUUAAUGUUGGACCGAAGCCUACUUCCCAAUCCCUCUGUUUCUUUCCUGUUUUUCUUCCCCAAAGCCGUCCGAAACCCUCCGUUUCUCUUCCUCGAUGUCGCCUGCGAACCUUUUUUUUCUUCCCUCCGUUUCUCUUCCUCGAUGUCGCCUGCGAACCUUUUUUUUUCUUCCAAUCCUUUUUUUUUUCUCCCGAAGCUCUUUCUGGGUUGCGGUCCCUCUUUUUUUUAAGUUGGCCCUUCUUUAGAAGCUUCGAAAUCGAGAGGGGAACUAAAGAGAUCCAGUGACUCAGUCCCAUUUCGAUUUCGUUGCCACCAACAGGCAACAGCCACUUAAAAAGAUGUUCUCAGCUUCUUGAGAUAAUUACUUUCUCACUUAAAUUCUCAUCCAAAAAAAUAAAUAAAUAAACACAGUAAUAAUAGUAAGAUUAAGUUUUUUUUAACAAUUUUUUAAUAAUUUUUAUUUUUUAAACAGAGAUUAUCUUACAUAUUUUACAGUGGAAUUGUGUAUUAUUAUUUUAAUGAAUAAUGGCACCUAGAAAAAAAAUCUAAAGUUGUGGAUCCCACUUGAAAUCAUUGUAAAAAAUUUGAUGAUGACAAAGAGGGCGAUGGAAAUCGAUUACAUCUUAUAUGCAAUUAUUGUAAUAAGAGUUUUUGAAGAGAAGUGAAUAGAAUGAAAAAUCAUCUUGUAGAUACACAUAACAAUGUUUCUCUUUGUACUCAAGUUCUUGAAGAAAUUCAGAAUUUUUUUAAAAAUUUGUUGGAGGAGAAAGAAAUAGAGAAAAAUUUGGAUGAUGAUGUUGAGUGCUUUAAAGUAGAUGAACCAAAUGCAAAAAUAAAGAAAGAAACUAUAGAUUCAUUUAUGAUGAAAGGAAGAAGAAAUGUAUGUAAACAACGGACAAUAAAUGAAAUGAUAAAAAAAAAGAAUCAGUAGUUAGAGAUAUUUGUAGAUUUCUACAUGGACAUGUAUUCACAUUCAAUUUGGUCAAAAGUCCUUUAUUUGCUCAAAUGAUGAAAUCUAUUGGGGAGUAUGGGAAAAGAUUGAAACUCCCUUCUUAUCAUAAAGCUAGAGUUACUUUCUUGAAGAAAGAAGUAGAAAAUGUUAAUAAAUGUUUGAUAAAAUAUAAAGAUGAGUGAAAAAAAUGGAAUGUUUAAUCAUGUCCGAUGGUUGGACUGAUGGAAAAAGUUGGUCUAUUACUAAUUUUUUUAUGAAUAGUCCCAGUAGGACAAUGUUCCUCAAAUUAUUGGAUACCUCUGAUGUUAGUAAGGAUUCAAAUAAGUUGUUUGAAUUGCUUGACAACUUAGUAGAGGAGACUGGAGAGAAAAAUAUAGUUCAAGUGGUGACAGAUAGUGCCUCUGCUUAUGUUGGCGUGGAUAGACUCUUAAAAGAAAAGAGAAAGCAUCUUUUUUAAUUUCUACGUGCAGUCCAUUAUUUAGAUUUAAUACUUAGUAACAUUGAAAAUAUUUCAAUUUUUUUUAAUACACUUGGCAAAGCAAGGCAAAUUACAAUUUAUAUUUAUCAUCAUACUUGGGUUCUUAGUUUGUUUAGAAAAUAUUCUAAGAACAAGGAAUUGAUAAGACCGACGGUUACUAGAUUUGCAACAUUCUAUCUCACUUUGAGAAGCAUACUAGAUAGGAAGAUUGCUUUAAAGGCUAUGUUUACUUCAGAGGAAUGGGCAAGGAGCACUUAUGCAAGCAAAUUUAAGGCUUGAAAAAUUCAAAAAAUUAUAUUGAGCGAUAACAGAUUUUGGAAAGCUACAAAAUAUUAUUUGAAGUGUAUCCUUCCUUUGGUAAAAGUAUUGAGACUUGUUGAUAGAAAUGCAAAAUCGGCUAUGGAUUAUAUUUAUGAAGCAAUAGAUAGAGCAAAGGAACAAAUUGAUAAAAAUUUUAAUAAUGUUAAGAAGAGGUAUGAUCGGAUUUGGGAGACAAUUGACAUUCAUUGGGAUUUGCAACUCUACAGACCACUUCAUACGGCAGCAUAUUAUCUUAAUCCCAAAUAAGUCAUAUUUUUUUAAUUUAUAUUAUUUUAUUAAUAAAUUUUAUUAUUUUAAAUUUAAAUUUAUUUUUUGAUUCUUGACCUUUAGGUUUCAAUAUGAUCCCAAUUUUAACACCGAUGAAGUAAAAAUUAGAUUGUUGAAGAUAAUUGCAAAGAUGUAUCCAGAUGUUGAGACAAGAGUCAUUAUUGAUUCACAACUUGAAAAAUUUAAAAAGAUCGAAGGAUUAUUUGGGAUGGAUAUGACGGUAUCAACAAGAAAUAAAAAAACAAUCAGAUAAUUAUAAUUUUAAUUUUAUAAAUUUAUUUUUAUUUGUCUAAUUUAAAUUUAAUUUAUCUUAUUUUAUUUGUCUCGCUCUAUGAUGGAAGAGUUUUGGAGAACAGUGCAAAAAACUUCAAAGGCUAGCAAUUCGAGUACUAAGUCUUACUUGUAGUACUAUUGGAUGUGAAAGAAAUUAGAGCAUAUUUGAACAUAUUCAUUCCAAAAAAAAGAACCGUUUGGAGCAACAAAGAUUGAAUGCCUUGGUGUUUGUCAAGUACAAUAUUCAACUUGAGAUGAGAUAACAAAAAAGACAUGAAAAGGAGAAGACAUAUGAUCCGAUAUACUUAUCAGAUAUGGAAUCAGAUGAUGAGUGGAUAACUGAGCAAGAAGAGCCAUGCUUACCGGAUGAUGUGUCUUAGUUGGAUGUAAAUGAAUGUUUUGAUGAGGGACCUAAUAACAGAACAAGGAAGAGAGGUAUGCAAAUUAUUUUCUAAUUUUUUUUAAAUUUUUAAUUUUUUAAAUAAUUACAUUAUUUUCUUAUUUGACUUUGUUGGUUCUUAAAAUAUUUUUGUAGGACCAAGAAACUUAAAUGUUGAUAGUAAAGGUAAAGGGAAAGAAAAGGUUGUUGAGAAAAAUAUUGAAGUGAUAGAAAAAGAUGAAGGUAAUGAGGAAGAACAGGAAGAAGAAGAGAAUCAAGAGAUGAUUAUGCUUGAAGAUGAUGAUGACGACGGCGGCGGUGGCGGCGGUGGUAAUGAUGACAUUAGCUUUGGGGAUGAUUAUGAUGACUGAAGAUUUUAUUUAAUUUUUUGAAUGAACAGUGAAUUAGUAAUACUUUAUAUUUACUUUUAAUUUAUGUUUUGAAUUUAGUAUUUUAAACUUAUCUAUACUUUUUGGACAUCUUUUUGAGUAUUCAUUGACUAAUAGAUUGGUAUACAUUUUGAUUGUACUUUUUGUUAUUGAAUCUUACUAUUCGAGUCACGAUUUGAGUCGCGAUUUGAGUUAAAGCAUGAGCAAUUCACGAGUCGAAUCUCGAUUUGACAACAUUGCCUGUGAGGCUCAUCGGACAAGUGGAGAUAGAAUUUGGCAUCAUAGCAGUUGUAGGGCUAUUGAGAAAUAGAUCUCUUUGUACUUUGACCAAGCUUUUAUCCUCCAAAUUUCAGGAAGGAUUUCAUGAUAAUUUCAUUCAUUAUAAUUGUUGUUACUUCUUUAUCUAAAUUUUAUAUAUUGAAUUUGACUCUUAAUAUGGUCUAAUUAUUUCUUAAUCAGAUGUAACUUAUUAGGUUAGUCACAUGUAUUAAAUCAAUUACAGUAAGUCCAAUUAAUUAAAGAGUUCUAUUCCUAAUCACAUAUAGACUGGAAGUUCAACUUUAAUUAGAGUUAGUCCUUUUGAUGGGACAAGCAAGUGUGGGUAUAAAUAUAGAGAUGUCUUAAUUUUUUUUGUCCAACUCUCAAAAAGGUACGAAUGAUUUUCAUCGAUCGUUCACGUUAAGGAGAGUGAGAAAAAUUAGAAAAUUAGAUACCUCACAGAAGAAGACCAGACAUCCUGUGGGCUACGGGAUCAUCGUAUUGGAUACAUGAUAAUGCAAGGCAUGAUUUAUUUAUGAUUUAAUUUUUACAUAAAUAUAAAAGCACGAUCCAAACAUAAAAAAUUAAAAUUAUCUAAUAUGUGGUAUCAGAACCCCAAUUUUAUACUUCAUGUUCAUAUAAAAACUUUUCGAUAAAUUUUUUGCUUAUUUUCAAAAUACUAAAAUCAAGGUUUUGAAUUUUUUGAAUUAAAUAAAGGCUUAGAAAAUUAAAUUAUGUUUUUCUUAAUUUUUUAGAAAAUAAAAAAAGUUUGUGUGGCCGACCUGCUGUUAGAAAACUCUAUGGUUUCGUACGUAUAGUUUAAAAAUUUUUUUAAAUAUUAUACAGUAGAAGUAAAUAAAUUAAAAUAUUUUUAAUUUAAAAAUAUGUACAAGAUCUAAUCUGAAAAUCAUGCGUAGGAUCUUAACACAAACAUGCUAUCUUGAUCUGAAAUCUGAAAAAAAAUCAAACAUUAGCAAAACAAAAUCAGAGAUCAGAUCUCCAUACCUUCGGAUCUUACGGAUGUCCGAAGUUUCGAUCGUAGCCGCGCACGCACCCGCCUCUACUGAUAUCCAUAUAAAGAUGCCUGAUUGAAACAUUGAGAUCACCGGUGUGCUAGCAUCUUGUAGAUCUUGCUCCUCAGCGUUGGAUCUACAUUUCUUAUUUUGGAUCUCGAAGAAGAAGAUCGCUGCGUGAACUCUUUCGCGCAGAUCCGAUGGGAUCUGAACCAGAUCACCAAGAAGGAAAGAAAAACUUUUCUUCUUCUCUUCUUCUCUCUCUUUUUCUCUCUUAGAUCUAAUCACCAUCAGAUCUUGGCGUUGGGCAUUGAAGGAAGAAGGAGGAAAAGUUGGGGCAUUGAGAGGUUGUGAUGUCCUAAAGAAGCCGUCUGCUUCCUCUCAUGCAAAACCUCACGCCCCAAAAAUUUUUGUCGCAUAAAACUAACUACCUCACCUCCCAACCACAUCCUCACGCCCUAAAAGAUCUUAUCUCUUUUGAUCUUAGCCAUUCAAACCAAAAUCAAGGAUUAGAUGGGCGUGGAGAUGAUGUUGUAUGGCAAGAAAGAAAUCCCACAAAAAAAUUAGCGCAUGCCCAUUCCUUUUCAAAUUUUUUGUCGCACAAAAAAUUCCUUAUACGCCGUAUCAGAUAUGAUUUAAUCCUAUUUUGAAUCAAAUUCAAAUAGAAAUAAAAUCUGGAAGAAAGAGAAUCCCAAAUAACAUGGGGUGCCAACUAUUGGACCCCCUCCCCUUUCACGCGCACAAAAAAAAAAGGGGGUGCAUUUUCAUGCGCUCCCUCCCCUUCUCAACAUGAAAACUAGAGAGAGUCUCAAAAAAUCUAGACUCUCUGAGUCAUGGUUCAUCUGGUUCAAAUUAGAUCUCAAUCGGAUUCAAAUCAAACCUGAAUCGAGUCGAAUUCGAAAGACUGCCAAGUCUGAUCCAAUCAAGCUUGAAAUCCAAAUCUAAUUUGAAUAAUUGAAUCCAAUUAGAAUUAAAUUAAAUUAAAUCUAAUUCAAUUAAAUUUGAUUUAAAUUAAUUAAAAUUUAAUAUAUAAUUUAAUCAGUCUCAAUAAAAUUAUAACAUUUGUAAUUAAGUUCCUGCGCUAACAAUUAACAGUUGUCAAAACUGUAACGAUCACAAAUUAGCAGUUUCUAAAAUUCAAACUAUCAAUCCAAUUGAUAAUUCAAAUAUGAUCUAAGCCAUUGAUCAGGUCAUGCUCCUUUUGUGUGUGAUCCCUCAGAUUUUAUUCUGUCUGGUAGUGAGACAUACUAUGAUCUUCAUCACAGUAUCAUCGAAACUCUUUUUGAUGGACUAGAACGAUUCCAACUCACCUCAACAAAGAUCAUUGAUCUGAAAAUGAUCCUAGUGAGUUCUCACAAUCCAUCAGUGAUGUCUAGCAGCAUAUAGUGGCAAUCCAGUAGAAUAGAAAAAAUGAAUCCUUAAGUGCAAUUAUCGUGUGAUACAAUCUCUCUAUCGUGAGUCCCGACUAGAUAGAGGUCAUGGAGAACUCGUCAAACCCCAUCGUCAGUCAUAUGCUAGAUUGGCUCAAUUCGAGUUCAUCUGUGAAUUCCAUGAAAACUCUUUUCCAGUAUUCACACUUACUUUGAUCAGAGAUUUUUUGAACUCAGUCUUGCGAAUCGCAUAGGACUUCUCUACUAAGAUCGAUAGAUUCCAUCUAGGUGCAUCCUACUUCAAACAGCAAACCUGAACUUACAAUAGCCAACAUACACAGUAAAAAUCCGAAUAGCUAAGAACCAAGAAAAUAUACAGUCAAACUAAGUAGUCUCACUGUGAAUAGCCAACAUACCGUAGGUCAAAAGACGAGUCACACCACUGCAGCAUCGAGAAAAUCACUGAUGAGUAGACAUCCAAGUGAUUUCUCGAAUUGAUCAUGCUCAGUACAAGUUGUUCUCUAACAACCACCUGCACUCUCACCUCAGUGUCUCUACACCGCAGACUCGAGACUCAUCUGUCCUAAAGAGAGAUGAUCCGAGCAUCGAUCUUGAAUAGACUGAUCACUGUCUUUCAUGACGAUCCUUCGAUCGAAAGUAUUUAGAAAUUAGCCACUAAUGAUGUAUGUCUCAAAUUCUCAAUACUUUGAGAAUAUAUAAAAUCAUCUUUAUUAAUUUUUAAGACAAAUCUUGGACACAAGAUAUGAUCGGUUAUAAAGAUUGUCCAUCAAGUACAAAACAUGCCCUAGAUAAAGAUAUGUAUCUGCCAAAAUUGACUUCUAAGGCACACAUCUAAUAAACUCUCACUUGCACUAAUGUCAAUCUGCCAUAUACCUAAGCCUUAUCUUCUAAAGACAGGCUUUGGUGUUUAGCUGGCUAAGUAACUCGGGCCCACCACAUCCUAUGUGGAGUCUACUCUCUGUAUCUCUACGUAUUUCUAUUUGAGGUAAUCACAUAUAUCUCUGUUCUAUGUGUAUGAACUUCUGAUGAGAUCUUGACUCCUUACCAAGGGCUAUGGACCAUUAUCUUUGCAGUACAAUGUCAAAGCAUCCAAUAGUAUAACAUCCAGUUCUGCAACUAUCAUAAGAACCAAAACACAUCCGACACAUCUAUAGCAUAUUCAACUUUCAUUGAUCGAUUGCCUAGAACCCUUCUAAUAUACCGAACGAAUAUAACUCAAGAAUACAUGCUGAUGUAGAUAUUCUACCAUCAGCAUCAAUGUAUCCUUCCACUCUUAGCUCUAAUCUUUCUUCAAAGACGAGAAAUAAUUUCUUAGUGCUUUUUAAGUACUCAGAGAUAUUUUUCACAACCAUCCAAUGCUUCCAAUCUGAAUUUAACUAAUAUCUGCUCAUAACUUUCACAACAAGAUAAUCAAGUCGAGUACAUAGCAUGACAUACACCUAUGCCUAAGAAGAUAACGGAUCUCUCUUGAAGAUUUCAAUACUGAACCCUUUCAACACCUCUUCUAUGUACUUGUCUGUGAAAACCAAAUAUCCUUUUAAGAUUUAUCUCUAUAAACCUUUUAUUUCCAAAAUAUUUGAUCUAGAUCUUUGAUAAGAAAAUUCUAUAUGUAACCACAUCAUAUCCGAUGUCAGUAUGGGGCUUUCCCACUGACCUUCAUGUAACUACAUGAUUCUUCUUUAUUUUUGAUGAAAUCAAACAAUUUGAUCAUGACAAUUCCAACUCUGAGAUGUUAGCUUAAAUCCAUAAAUGAAUUUUCGCAGUGUCAUCUCUAUCACUGAAAGUGAAAUCCAUAGGCCACUAUAAAUAGAUAUCUUUCAAAGAUAUCUAUUUAGUAGGGCUGUCCACACAUAUAUUUUUCAAGAUCGAUGUACAACAUUACCUCGUUGUAGGUUUCGAAAUCAUCCCUAUGUUCUCAAUCUCCCUCGAAAAAUAUUUUCUCUGAAUCCUUUGUAAGAAUACCUAGUAUCCUUUUAAAGGAUGGAAGAUCCUACUAGAUCUACGAGAUAGAGGAGGUAGUACAUAUACUGGCUCAUCUUAAAUAGAUUGUACUGGUCUCGUGACUCGUUGUUCUUUAGAGACUCUCUCUUUGAGUUCAUCCUCCCACUGUUUCCAAGAAAACAGUAUGAUUGCACACAAUCAUAUUGUAAACUACUGAGAAGAGAAAGUGACGUCCCAAACCCUUUUGGAAUAUCCCAUAAACGAUCUCUCAUAGAUCUAUCCUCUAACUUGUCUAUCAUAUCAUAUCUCAUAUGAUGUGGUGAAACCAACUUUAGAAAGAACCUAAUUUAAAUUUUAAAAAUUAAAUAUUGUUCCUAAAGAAACAAUAGUUAAAUUAGUGAUAUUCAUGAUGGAACGGACCAUAUCCCAUACAGUGACAUCGCUCCUCACAGAUACCCCAUUGAGCUAAGAUGUAUAAAGAGAAUUCCAUCAUAAAACUAUGCCAUUCUCUUUAGAUAACCGACAAAUUCUCUAUUUGGUAUUGCAUCCUCAAUCUAAUUGAAGUACCUUUAGGAUUUUUUCGAUUUACUUUUCUACUUCUCAUCUAAAUUCUUUGAACAUUUUUCAAGUCUUUCAGAUUUGUAUCUUACAUAUAUAUCUAUACCAUGACUGUUCAUCAGUAAAGGUGAUAAAGUAGUGAUAAUAUCCUAGUUUGACUCAUCAAAUGGGCUAUACACAUCAUAUGUGUACUAGGAUAAGUAUCUCAGUGGUCCUAUCCCUUUGACCAACAAAAGACAGCUUGAUCAUUAAUCCUCAAAAAGAUGAUUCACGGACUAGAUAUGACCUAACAGUCAAUGAGCCCAAAAAUUCAUUUUCUCCAGUCGGUAAAUCAUUUCUUCUCACACAUGACCUAGCCAAAAGAACCAUCUGUAUACUUCAGAUUAUUUCAUUCUAGAUCUCUCAGACCCAAUGACAUUCACUAUUUGCUCAAAUAAUUUUCACAAAUGCAUCACCAUGCAAAUGAUUAUGAACUAAAUCCAAACGGUAAUCACCAAAGUUAGAUGCCCACGGCCUCAAUAUAACUUUUGCACCAUUACCGACUUAAAAGAGUCACUUCAUCUUUCUUUAGUCCUCUUUCUUUCUUAGAUCUUAUAUUAAACUGCGUAAUAUACACUAGAAUCUAAUGAAAAAGAGAAAACUGUAAGAUCAAAUUUGAAUAUUUCGACAUACCUUCCAAAAGUGUGUCAAUAUUUUUUUAGGUUCUUCAGAUAUGUACCUCUAAACUUUUCAAGAUCCCUUAGUUACCAGCAUAUUGAUCAAUUCAGUUAAAGUACUAUAAUAUUUAUUCAUAUAAUAAUUUCAUAAACUAUUCGUAUGAAUCAGAAAUUGUAAAAUCAAAUCCAUUAGCAAUUUCUUAUGUAUGGUCAUGUCGAGCUUUUCAAGCUCUUCAAUAUCUUUGAUCAUCGAUCAUGGACAAACUGCCCAUCACACAUCUUAUGCACUAUGUGACUCUGAUCAUCUCACAACUAUUACCGAUGAAUCAGCAUGUCAUUGACAAUCUACAUAUCCUUAUGCAUACAUUAGAUUUCAUCAACUAUGAAGUCCAAUUUAUAGCAUAUGAUGCAUGUCGUAGUACACCAAAAUUAAUCCUACUCACUACUAUAUAGAUAGGAUGAGUCGGGAUCGUAUCCGCAGGGAUCUUAAUUGAUUAUUUUGAAAAUAUNNNNNNNNNNNNNNNNNNNNNNNNNNNNNNNNNNNNNNNNNNNNNNNNNNNNNNNNNNNNNNNNNNNNNNNNNNNNNNNNNNNNNNNNNNNNNNNNNNNNNNNNNNNNNNNNNNNNNNNNNNNNNNNNNNNNNNNNNNNNNNNNNNNNNNNNNNNNNNNNNNNNNNNNNNNNNNNNNNNNNNNNNNNNNNNNNNNNNNNNNNNNNNNNNNNNNNNNNNNNNNNNNNNNNNNNNNNNNNNNNNNNNNNNNNNNNNNNNNNNNNNNNNNNNNNNNNNNNNNNNNNNNNNNNNNNNNNNNNNNNNNNNNNNNNNNNNNNNNNNNNNNNNNNNNNNNNNNNNNNNNNNNNNNNNNNNNNNNNNNNNNNNNNNNNNNNNNNNNNNNNNNNNNNNNNNNNNNNNNNNNNNNNNNNNNNNNNNNNNNNNNNNNNNNNNNNNNNNNNNNNNNNNNNNNNNNNNNNNNNNNNNNNNNNNNNNNNNNNNNNNNNNNNNNNNNNNNNNNNNNNNNNNNNNNNNNNNNNNNNNNNNNNNNNNNNNNNNNNNNNNNNNNNNNNNNNNNNNNNNNNNNNNNNNNNNNNNNNNNNNNNNNNNNNNNNNNNNNNNNNNNNNNNNNNNNNNNNNNNNNNNNNNNNNNNNNNNNNNNNNNNNNNNNNNNNNNNNNNNNNNNNNNNNNNNNNNNNNNNNNNNNNNNNNNNNNNNNNNNNNNNNNNNNNNNNNNNNNNNNNNNNNNNNNNNNNNNNNNNNNNNNNNNNNNNNNNNNNNNNNNNNNNNNNNNNNNNNNNNNNNNNNNNNNNNNNNNNNNNNNNNNNNNNNNNNNNNNNNNNNNNNNNNNNNNNNNNNNNNNNNNNNNNNNNNNNNNNNNNNNNNNNNNNNNNNNNNNNNNNNNNNNNNNNNNNNNNNNNNNNNNNNNNNNNNNNNNNNNNNNNNNNNNNNNNNNNNNNNNNNNNNNNNNNNNNNNNNNNNNNNNNNNNNNNNNNNNNNNNNNNNNNNNNNNNNNNNNNNNNNNNNNNNNNNNNNNNNNNNNNNNNNNNNNNNNNNNNNNNNNNNNNNNNNNNNNNNNNNNNNNNNNNNNNNNNNNNNNNNNNNNNNNNNNNNNNNNNNNNNNNNNNNNNNNNNNNNNNNNNNNNNNNNNNNNNNNNNNNNNNNNNNNNNNNNNNNNNNNNNNNNNNNNNNNNNNNNNNNNNNNNNNNNNNNNNNNNNNNNNNNNNNNNNNNNNNNNNNNNNNNNNNNNNNNNNNNNNNNNNNNNNNNNNNNNNNNNNNNNNNNNNNNNNNNNNNNNNNNNNNNNNNNNNNNNNNNNNNNNNNNNNNNNNNNNNNNNNNNNNNNNNNNNNNNNNNNNNNNNNNNNNNNNNNNNNNNNNNNNNNNNNNNNNNNNNNNNNNNNNNNNNNNNNNNNNNNNNNNNNNNNNNNNNNNNNNNNNNNNNNNNNNNNNNNNNNNNNNNNNNNNNNNNNNNNNNNNNNNNNNNNNNNNNNNNNNNNNNNNNNNNNNNNNNNNNNNNNNNNNNNNNNNNNNNNNNNNNNNNNNNNNNNNNNNNNNNNNNNNNNNNNNNNNNNNNNNNNNNNNNNNNNNNNNNNNNNNNNNNNNNNNNNNNNNNNNNNNNNNNNNNNNNNNNNNNNNNNNNNNNNNNNNNNNNNNNNNNNNNNNNNNNNNNNNNNNNNNNNNNNNNNNNNNNNNNNNNNNNNNNNNNNNNNNNNNNNNNNNNNNNNNNNNNNNNNNNNNNNNNNNNNNNNNNNNNNNNNNNNNNNNNNNNNNNNNNNNNNNNNNNNNNNNNNNNNNNNNNNNNNNNNNNNNNNNNNNNNNNNNNNNNNNNNNNNNNNNNNNNNNNNNNNNNNNNNNNNNNNNNNNNNNNNNNNNNNNNNNNNNNNNNNNNNNNNNNNNNNNNNNNNNNNNNNNNNNNNNNNNNNNNNNNNNNNNNNNNNNNNNNNCAUAUUUUUCAUGUCGAAAUUAAAUUGCUUUAUGGCCCAAAAUGCACGGUGUUCUAGCUCUACCGGUAGAUGGCAGACUUUUCCAAAAAUGAGUCGGUAAGGAGACAUUCCUAUCGGGGUCCUGAAUGCAAUAUGAUAGGCCCAUAAUGCAUCGUCUAAUCAUCCAGAUCAAUCUUUUCGAUCAGACCUAACCAUCUUCUCAAGAAUUCGUUUGAUCUCUCUGUUGGAGACUUCCACUUGGCCACUAGUUUGGAGGUGAUAUGGUGUGGCAACUUUAUGAGUGAUUCCAUAUUUCUUCAUUAAACUUUCAAAGUGCCUAUUCGUGAAGUAUGUACCUCCAUCACUAAUAAUAGCUCUUGGACAACCAAAUCGACUUAAGAUAUUCUGUUGGAUGAAUUUGAUUACCACCUUAUGAUCAUUCGUUCUGGUUGCCAUAGCCUCAACCCAUUUAGAUACGUAAUCUACCGCAACCAAAAUAUAUUCAUAUACAUAGGAUAGAGGAAAGAGGCCAAUAAAAUCAAUUUUUCNNNNNNNNNNNNNNNNNNNNAAUGUCGGUCAGUAAAAUCUAUUUUGUAACACUUUUGCGGUCAUUUUCUUUCCACUGAAAUAUCCCCCGCAUGCAUGAGAGUGACAAAAGAUAAGUACACUUUGAUACUCACCCUCAGGGACACAGCGUCGAAUCACUUGGUCAGUGCAAUGUUUGAACAAUUCGAGUUCCUCCUAAUAAUAAUGUUUGACCUGUGAGAAGAAUCGAUCCUUCUCCUGUUUUGUCCAAUAGAGAGAAACUUGUCCUGUUGCCAAGUAGUUAAUGAUGUGGGCAAACCAUGGGAUUUGAUCAGAGGAUGUUGCAAAAAGUUGUUCGUCAGAAAAUUUCUCUUUAACUUCAUCUGUACCCAUCGUAUGAUCAACUAAGAUUCUAGAAAUGUGAUCAGCGAUCACAUUUUCGGAAUCCUUCUUAUCUCGAAUUUUUAGAUCAAAAUUUUGAAGCAGAAGGAUCCAUCUGAUCAAUCGUGGUUUAGUAUCUUUCUUUGAGAACAGAUGUUUCAAAGCCGCAUGAUCAGAAUACACUAGAACCUUAGACCCUAACAGAUAUGAACAAAAUUUAUCAAGGACAAAUACCACCGCUAGUAGCUCUUUUUCUGUCGUAGUGUAGUUCAAUUGAGCAUCGGAUAGAAUUUUGCUAGCAUAAUAGAUCACAUGUGGCUCCUUAUUGAUUUUUUGAUCUAAGAUAGUCCCUAUUGCAAAAUCGGAAGCGUCACACAUGAUUUCAAAUGGGAAGGACCAAUCAGAAGAUUUUAUUAUGGGUGCUAUUGUCAGGACUGUUCGUAACGUGUAAAAAAUAUGUAGACAUUCUUCAUUAAAAAAAAAUAAUGUAUCCUUGGCCAAUAAAUUGCGCAAGGGUCUUGAUAUUUUGCUAAAUUUUUUAAUGAAGCGUCUGUAAAAUCCUGCAUGACCUAAGAAAGAUCGUAUUUGUCGAACUGAAGUGGGGGGGUGGUCGUUUUGAGAUGACCUCAAUUUUCGCUUUAUCUACCUCAAUCCUCCUUUCGAAAAUAAUGUCCCAAUAUAAUUCCUUCCCGAACCAUGAAAUGGCUCUUUUCUCAACUUAAAACCAAAUUUAUCUUCGUGCAGUGCUUAAGGACUUUGGAGAGGUUAUGAAGACAAUCCUCAAAAGUGGUUCCAAAUACGGAGAAAUCAUUCAUAAAUACUUCAAGAUAUUUAUCUACCAUAUCCGAAAAAAUAACCAAAAUGCACCGUUGAAAUGUGGCAGAUGCAUUGCAGAGUUCGAACGGCAUACGUCGAAAAGUAAAAAUACCGUAGGGGCAAGUGAAGUGGUCUUCUCUUGAUCAUCCAAAAAUACAGGUAUUUGAUUGUACCCCAAAUAACCAUCUAAGAAAUAAAAAAAAUAUUGACCUGCUAGCCAUUCUAGGAUUUGAUCGAUGAAGGAUAAUGAAAAAUGAUCCUUUCUAGUAACGGCAUUGAGUUUCCUAUAGUCAAUGCACACUCGCCAAUCAGAUGGUGUGCGAGUGGAAAGCAAUUCACCUUCUUCAUUCUCUACCACAAUAAUACCUACUUUUUUAAGUACUACUUGAGUAAAACUGACCCAUUUACUAUCGGAUAUGGGGUAAAUGAUUCCAACAUCUAACCAUUUUACCACAUCUUUCUUCACUACUUCCCGCAUAUUUGGAUUCAAUCUCCUCUGCAUGUUUCGAUGGGGUUUUGUAUCUGCCUCGCNNNNNNNNNNNNNNNNNNNNNNNNNNNNNNNNNNNNNNNNNNNNNNNNNNNNNNNNNNNNNNNNNNNNNNNNNNNNNNNNNNNNNNNNNNNNNNNNNNNNCUUCAGAACACCAACCAAUUGUGCUUCUUGAUCCGAGGUCAAGUCUGAUGCAAUGAUCACCGGAAGGAUGUCAUUAGGUCCUAGAAAUGCAUACUUGAGUGUGGCCUGAAGUGGCUUUAAUUCUAAUGCAGGUGGUGAUUCUAAUGAUGGGACUGUGGGUGUAUUGGCUAAUGCAGGCAAUGGCUCAUACUUGAUUGUCUAAUAAGGAGUAGUUUUAUUACUUGAUGUAUCAACUAAAAUAUUUACUUCUUCACUACCUCCCUCCAUAUCACAGUCGUCCACUCCAAAGUACGUUAAAUGGGUGUCUCGAAAAUCAUGUGCAAAAAUCAUUGAUGUUGCUUCCUCUAUAAUAUCCUCGAAUGUAUCUAUUUCGAAGCAACUAUCCAUUGAUGGUCCCUGAGAUGCACUAAACAUAUUUAAUCUCAGUUUCUUAUUCCCAAAUGAUACGUACAUGACUCAUGUCCUACAAUUGAUGCAUGCAUUUGCCGUAGCUAAGAAGGGUCUACUUAAGAUAAUGAGAAUUUGCCUUGGAUUGCCAUACAGUUCCAUGUCAAAGACUAAAAAAUCAACUGAAAAAUAAAACUCAUCUACCUUGACCAAAACAUCCUCGAUCAUCUCAUGUGGUGUCUUAAUUGAUCUAUCAGCUAUCUGUAGAGUGACCGAUGUGGGUUUCAAUUCUCCAAAUCCAAAAAGUUCAUAAAUUGAGCUAGGUAAAAAGUUCACACUCGCUCCUAGAUUUAGGAGAGCUUGUUUGAUGUGAAGGUCUCCUAUAAUGCAAAAAAUGGUAGGGGUACCUGGAUCUUUAAGCUUUGAAGGGGUAGCGUGCUGGAAUACAGAGCUAGCUUGUUCGGUGAGGCAUACUUUCUUCGGGAGUUAUGAUCGAGAUUUACGUUUCUGAGUGCACAAUUCCUUCAAAAAUUUUGCGUAAGCUGGGACCUGUUUGAUUGCAUCUAGAAGGAAGAAAUUAAUUUGGACUUGCUUAAAUAAUUCCAACAUCUCAUCAAGUCUUCCUCCUUUCUUAUCCACAAGAGUGAGGGCUUUUAGGGCACUCGAAAAUGGAGCUUUAGACAAGUAAGGUGAUUCCGGUGCAGUUAGUCUCUUUUCUACUUUUGUGUCCUCCUUGCUCUUAGGUGAUUUGGGCUUAGUCAGAGGUCUACGAUCGGUCUCAUUGAUUUUACUCGUGUGUUCAAUGACCUUCCCACUUUUGAGAGUCAUAAUUGAUUUGGCAUGUUCAGAAAAGAUAUCUGGAGUAUUGGAGCUCUCAACCAUGAAUUGUCCUCUUGGAUUGCUCUAAAAUUGAUUAUGUAAUUUUUCUCCUUCUCUCCUACUGACUGUGAUUGCUAGUUGAUCUAUUUGGGUCUCUAGCUUAGCAAUGGAUUACAUGUGGGAGUUAAGGAUCUGGAUGUUGACUUCUAAUUAUUCUAGCAUUUUUAAAAUCUUAUCCUCAAAAGUUGAGCUGUGACCAGUGAUAGAUAGUUGAGGAGUAUUUUGAAACUGGUGGUAUGAUCCAUGCCUAUAUGUCGGAUCCUGAUAAUUUGGUCUAAGUACAGCAGGGCCAACCACUGGCUGUGAUCUCCAGGAAAAAUUUGAGUGGUUUCUCCAGUCGGAGUUAUAAAUGUUCGAAUAUGGAUCAUUUCCUGAUCUACGAGCUUGUUGGGCUUGAGCUUGCUGGACCUGCUCAUGCACAAAUUCAGGAAAUUGAGGUGCGAUUGGAUAUUCACUAACAAAAUAAGUCAAGCUUGCACACAAUGCACAAACAUCUUGCACUAGAUUAGGUAGAAUCGAAGAGUGUUCGAUAUUCAGAAGACAGUCAAAUUUUUGGGACAACUCAUCUACCUUACUGUGGAUAUCCAUAAUAUUUCCAAUCCGAUAGAUUCCACCUCUUUUCUAUUGAGACAUGGGUUGUUCUCUAGAAAUGGCAGACAUGUGAUGUAGGGAGUUCUCACUAAGUAUUUUAAAGAGCUGCCAAGCCUCGUCCUCACUCUUUAGUAUGAAUGUCCCACCACACGAUGCAUCGAUCAUUUGUCGGUGUUUCUCCAAUAGACCAUCAUAGAAACACUGAACAAGUUGCCAUUUGGAGACAGCGUGGUGGGGGCAUUUACGAAUAAGAUCUCUUGACAUUUCCUAUAUCUCAUGAAAAAGUUCACCAUCCAAUUGAGAAAAACUAGUGAUGGCUUUUCUAAUUUGAUUCAUUUUCCAAUUGAAAAAUAUUUCUGGAAGAAUUCUCUCUGAAGAUGGUCCCAAGUUGAAAUGAUUAUGGAAUCUAGAGAGUUUAACCAAUGCUUGGCUUUGUCCUUAAGUAAAAAAGGAAACAGUUUCGAUCUGAGGGCAUCAUCGAAAAAGUUUUGGAUUUUUACUGUGGAGCAUAUCUCAAGAAAUUCGUCCAAGUGUUUAUACGGAUCCUCAUUCGUCAGUCCAUAGAAUGAUGGAAGCAUUUGAAUAAUGUUGGACCUGAUUUCGUAUUAUGCCACCUUCACAGGAGGAGGCUGGAUACAUGACAAGUAAGUGUAAGAUGAGGGAGUAAAAUACUCUCUCAAUUGUCAUGGUGGGUCAGUCUCUUGUUUUGGAUUCAUGAUUUUGAUUUGGUUUAUUCGAAUCAUUUUUUCUAGCUCUAGGUCUAAUGGGUGUAAAUCAGAUCGUAAUAAUCGACGUCCUAGCAUGCACCCAAAAGAUCUCAUCGAGUUUUAAUUUCAACAAAUUUUUUUUUUUGAAAGAGAAGAGAGGAGGAGGGAAAAGAAUUCUAAAUAAGAGAACCUAAGGAGUUCUAAUGCUAAGAAGAUAAAGAAGAAUUAAUUAGAUUUGAUAUUUUUAGUCAACAAGCAAGUGGUUCAAUCAAUCCUAUCUAUGGGUUAUCCUAGAUCUAGACAGCUCCUAACUGCCAAGGCCACCUUUAAAUACUCCAAGUAGCAGACUAGCCGUUCAACUGGCUAGAUAAGUGUAAGGUUGGUGGGGGUCCCCCCGUUGCUUUCCUUAAAUACCAACUGUGUUGGCCAAGUUAGCGAACGGAACCAAUUAAUGAACCACCUUCCUUCAGGACGUAAUCCCUGAACCACUUUUCUAGACAUCAGUUAAACUGACUAACCUGAACCCAGUCUAACUUUUAGGGUUCCUUGUCCUACCGAGCUCGAGGAUCCUUAAGGGUCAACGUCUAAUCGAUUUUAAAUUAGAAGUUUAGGUCAAUAUAAUUGCAAGGUGAUGAUUUGUGAGCCAAGAGUGAUGAAAUCCCCACCUUAUGUUGAUUAGAAUUUUGCCCUUAAGAUUUUUUUUUUAUGAAAAUAUGCAAUGCAAAAAGAAAAGAUGUCCAAACAUGUUAAGUGAAUUUUAAAAUUUAAUUAAUUUAUUUAUAUUAAUCAAGUAUUAUGUAUUAUCAUUGUAUUCCUUUUAUAUUAUGUUAUCUUUUAGUAAGAAGAAAUAAAAAAUUUUAAAAUUAGAUUAAUUAGAUAUUAGAAGAUCAAGUGAAUCUAAUUAAAUGAAAAGUAAAUCAUACUAAGAUUAAAAAGCAAGUAGGUAUUCUACAAAUAAAGUAAUAAAUCAAAUUUACUUUUAGGAUAAUAAAUUAUUCUAAGCUAUAGAAAACAGUAAAUCACUAGAAAUAAUAGGCAAUAAUAAAUAAGGUAACUACUUAACUAUGCAAAUAAAGUAAUCCCAUAGUUAAGAAUAAAAGAUAACUACUUAAUCCAAAUAAAAGGCUAAGAAUCUAAUCUAUUUAUGAAAUAAGAAAUCACUAAUUAUAUAAAAUAAUAAAUUAUUCUAAUAUAUAGAAAGCAGUAAAUUGCUAGGUUAUAGGAAGUAGAAAAUAUUUUUAUGCAUGUAAAUAAANNNNNNNNNNNNNNNNNNNNNNNNNNNNNNNNNNNNNNNNNNNNNNNNNNNNNNNNNNNNNNNNNNNNNNNNNNNNNNNNNNNNNNNNNNNNNNNNNNNNNNNNNNNNNNNNNNNNNNNNNNNNNNNNNNNNNNNNNNNNNNNNNNNNNNNNNNNNNNNNNNNNNNNNNNNNNNNNNNNNNNNNNNNNNNNNNNNNNNNNNNNNNNNNNNNNNNNNNNNNNNNNNNNNNNNNNNNNNNNNNNNNNNNNNNNNNNNNNNNNNNNNNNNNNNNNNNNNNNNNNNNNNNNNNNNNNNNNNNNNNNNNNNNNNNNNNNNNNNNNNNNNNNNNNNNNNNNNNNNNNNNNNNNNNNNNNNNNNNNNNNNNNNNNNNNNNNNNNNNNNNNNNNNNNNNNNNNNNNNNNNNNNNNNNAUGAAGAAGAGAAGAGAGAGAGAGAGAAAGAGAGAAGCUUGAAGAGAACUUAGACAUUGGCUUGAUUGAAAAAGAGAGAGGCAUUGGGAUUCUAUUUAUAGAGUGAGGAGGCUAGGGUUUCAUGAAAAGAGAGAUGGGAAUGUGAAUAAGGACCCUUGGAUCUUCAUAUUGAUUCUCCUCCGUUGAUCAAUAAGUCAUAUUCACACUUAGUUUCAUUUAUCUUUUAAUCUGGACCUUUGAUUGGAGAGGUUGCUUCUUGACCCUUGAUCUUUAAGUUGCGUUCACACUGAAAUAAGAGCUGAUUGCUUGGUUCACUCAAAUCUGAACCAAUUUGAGUCUAAUUGAAUCGUAUGAACUCAAACUCCCAAUUACCUGCAAAAUAGACUAGAUAGCAUUAAAUUCUUAAUAAAAUAAUAUUAAUGAUUACAAUAUUUAGUGCCUCUAGCAUCUUAAAUUAAGUAUUCAUCAGCACCUAACCUAAUUGCCCAUGUCUAACCAUUUGUCAAGUAUAGCUCGUUAACUAUGGAUUGGACAAGCUGAUGACAUUGGGUUAACCUGAUCAAAAUAUGACUUAAUUUCUAAAAGCUAAGAACUAUUCUUAGAUUUUUGAGCCAAAAUAUGUAAUUGAUUUCGGUUAAGUGGUUAAUAUCUAGGAUUCAAGCUAGAGGGUUGGAAGCUGAAGAAUUGAUCAUAGAGAGUAAAAAUUUAAUUAGAUGAUUGUACUUGUAAUAAUUUGUUCUAGGGACUUUAAAAACAAACAAAAAGGCUCCCACUAAUUUUUUGAAUCUUUCGCACACAGAUGGAGAAACGAAAAUCCUAACGUGAUAAGUGAUUCUAGUGGGUGCUACGAUCCUAUCGAUGUACGACAUCUCACCUAAUAGUUAUUGAUGACACGUAUAUCAAUGCAUGGAUAACUCUUUAUCCAGAUGCUUCUUCAAGCAUGUUGCAGCGACUUGAUCUCUAAGUCCUGUGGCCUCACCUAACAGUUAUUGGCACAUUUUUUAAUUAAGUCCGACCCACCGUUCGCCAGCGAGUGCAAAGUCGUAAUUGGAUCCCUCAUCUAACAGUUAUUGGGCCCAACUCCAUCUUUACCCCAGAGUAUCUAAUGCCAAUAGAGUGGUUGUGCCUUUCCGAUGCAACCGAACCACAGUAACCAGCCGAAAGUGAUCAAGAUCGAAAAAGGCACCCAUAUCUCGACAACAAUGGAAAACCAAUAGACUUAAUGUUUAGUGAGGAGAUUUGGGUUCAGAUCUCUUCUAAUUAGUCACAUACAUAUGAUGUAAUGACUAAUAUGGUUUGAAUUAGCACAUUUCAUGUCUGACUAAUCUAAUCGGCAUGGGUGAACUCGGAUCAAUAAAUAACCUAAUAUAAAAUAUAAUAUCUCAAAAUGAUCAGGUAAGUGAAGAUAAAUGGGGAUCCCCUGUUGCUUUCUUUAGACACCAAUAAAUUGACCAGAUCAGACAAUGGAACCAAUUAAAGAACCACCAUCUAAUACUUACCUUAAACACCAAAUUGGUUGAUUAGAAUCAAUUAGGUUAACUAUAGACUCAGGCUCGAACCAUUGAGCCAAAUUCGAAUUUGACUUAAUCAAUUCACAUCACAUGUGAAUCAAUUUGACCAACUACAACUAAAUUCAAUUUUGAGCCUCUUUAACCUAAUCCCAACAAACUCUUGAUUAAGUUUGAUCAACUGCUCAAAAUCAGAAAAAAGUUCUAACUUGAUCUAAUCAAUGAUCCUAGUUAUAGUUUAGUCUCUAAACCUAAUUUGUUCAACCCAUACCUGAAGUCCAUAUUUUAUGCAUUGAAAUUUAGAUCUUCAAUUUAUAAUUUUAAAUCUUAUAAUUUUGAAUCUUAAUUCUCAAUUAAGUACAUUAUGUACAUGGAUUUAAGUUUAGAUCUCGAAAUAAUUUUUGAUCUAAACAAUUUAUAUUGUAUCUCAUAUAAUUUUGCUGUUUACAAAAUCAAGUCGAAUCAACCUGAUACACGAAUCAACUUAUCACAGUGAGUCGACACAACACUGAGACCAAUAGAAAUCUAUAGACCUAACCUGCACAAUUGAGUCAGCUCAUCAGCAAAUAAGUUGGCUUACCAGGAUCUCGAGUUAACUCCAACAAAAAUAAGUCAACUCACCAAGCACUCGAGUCGACUCAAUCGAGAAUCAAGUCGACUCCAUAGGCAUACCAGUCAUAGUUUCAUGAUUUCAUGCAAACAGAACCUAAGAUUUUGGAUCUAAAAUUUUGCAGAAAUUAAGUUUAAGAUUGUAUGUCAAAAUAAUAUAUCACAUAUAAUAUUUAACAAUCUAAAACACAUAAAAAUACAUGCAUAAUCUAAUUUAAAUCUAAAAUAUGUAGCACAAAUGAUUUUUCGUUUGUUGUUCAUCUUCAUAGAAAAUAUUACAGUCGGCACCUCUAUACAUCAUAAGAGUGAACCCAUUGAAUGGACAAGAGAAAGACUUAAUCCCUUCAUCUUCCUAUGACCGGAUGGCCAUGAUGAUUAUCCUAAUUUAAUUACUAAGCUACUAAGAGAUUAAUCUAACAUAUCACAUAUGUAAUCAAUUAAAAAUCAAAUCUAAUUAUCUUUCACAUAUCAAAUAUAUGGACAAUAAUUUUGAAUCUACGUAUCUAGAAAAAAAAUUCAACAAUCAUACUAGAUCCAAAUUAAACCAUAAUUAAUAUAUUCAGAUCUAAAACUAAUUUUAAAUCUGAAUAACUCAUGAUUUAUUUCUAAUCUAAAAUACUUUCAGAUCUAAAAUAAUCCUGUAAUCACAUUACAACAUGCAGAAAAUUCAGAUCUAACAUUAAUUGAUGUUCUACAUCAAUCUAGGACAACCGCUCAGCAUAACAGGUUAUGCCAGAACAACCUUAUUUCAGAACAACGUGGAUCAUCAAACUAACCUUCAGAUCUGAUUUUUACAAAUCAGAUUUCAGAUCUGAGGAGUUUUCAUAUUCGUAUCAGAACUUAUGCUCUGAUACUACUGUUAGAAAAUUUUAUGAUUUCGUACGUGUAGCUUAAAAUUUUUUUCUAAACAUUGUGCAGUAAAAGUAAAUAAAUUAAAAUAUUUUUAAUUUAAAAAUACAUACCAGAUCUAAUCUGAAAAUCAUGUGUAGGAUCUUAACACAAACAUGCUAUCUUAAUCUGAAAUCUGAAAAGAAAAUCAAAUGUCAGCAAAACAAAAUAAGAGAUCAGAUCUUUCUACCUUCGGAUCUUGCGGAUAUCCGAAGUUCCGAUCGUAGCCGCACACGCAUCCGACCUCUGUUGGUAUCCACACAAAGAUGCCUGAUCAAAGCAUCGAGAUCACCAGUGUGCUAGUAUCAUGCAGAUCUUGCUUUUCAGCCUUGGAUCUACAUCUCUUCUUCUGGAUCUCAAAAAAGAAGAUCGCUGUGCGAACUCUUUCGCACAGAUCCGACGGGAUCUGAAUCAGAUCACCAAAAAAAUAAGAAGAACCUUUCUUCUUCUCUUCUUCUCUCUCUUUUUUUUUCUUAGAUCUGAUCACCAUCAGAUCUUGGCGUAAGGGAUUGAAGGAAGGAGGAAGAGUUGGGACGUUGAGAGAUUGUGAUGUCCUAAAGAAGCUGUCUGCUUCCUCUCAUGUAAGACCUCACGCCCCAAAAAUUUUUAUCGUACAAAACUAACCACCUCACCUCCCAACCACAUCCUCAUGCCCUAAAAGAUCUUAUUUCUUUUAAUCUUAGCCAUCAAACCAAAAUCAAGGAUUAGAUGGGGUGGAGAUGAUGUUGUGCGGCAAGAAAGAAAUCCCAUAAAAAAAUUAGCGCACGCCAAUUCCUUUCCAAAUUUUUUGUCGCAUAAAAAAUUCCUUAUACGUCAUGUCAGAUAUGAUUUAAUCCUAUUUUGAAUCAAAUUCAAAUAAAAAUAAAAUCUGAAAGAAAGAGAAUCCUAGAUAAGGUGGGGCACCAACUAUUAGCGGCCCCUCCCCUUUCACGCACACAAAACAAAAGGGACGCAUUUUCACGCGCUCCCUCCCCUUCUCAACAUGAAAACUGGAGAGAGAGUCCUAAGAAACUUAGACUCUCUGAGUUAUAAUUCAUCUGGUUUAAAUUGGAUCUCAAUCUGAUUCAAAUCGAGUCCGAAUCGAGUCGAAUUCGGAAGACUGUCAAGUCUGAUCCAAACAAGCUUGAAAUCCAAAUCUGAUUUGAAUAAUUGAACCCAAUUAGUAUUAAAUUAAAUUAAAUCUAGUUAAAUUAAAUCUGAUUUAAAUUAAUUAAAACUUAAUCCAUAAUUUAAUCUGUCUCAAUAAAAUUAUAAUAUUUAUAAUUAAGUCCCUGCGCUAACAAUUAGCAGCUGCCAAAACUGUAACGAUUACAAAUUAACAGUUUCUAAAAUUCAAACUAUCAAUCCAAUUGAUAAUUCGAAUGUGAUCUAAACCAUUGAUCAGAUCAUGUUCUUUUUGGGUGUGACCCCUCAGAUUCUAUUCUGUCUGAUAGUGAAACAUAUCGUGAUCUCCAUCACUAUAUCAUCGAAACUCUUUUUGAUGGACUAGAACGAUUCCAACUCAUCUCAAUAAAGAUUAAACCAUUGAUCAGAUCAUGUUCUUUUUGUGUGUGACCCUUCAGAUUUUAUUCUGUCUGAUAGUGAAACAUAUCGUGAUCUCCAUCACCAUAUCAUCGAAACUCUUUUUGAUGGACUAGAACGAUUCCAACUCAUCUCAAUAAAGAUCAUUGAUCCGAAAAUGAUCCUAGUGAGUUCUCAUGAUCCACUAAUGACGUCUAGCAACAUGUAGUGGCAAUCCAGCAGAACAGAAAAAAUGAACCCUUAGAAGUAGUUAUCGUAUGAUACAAUCCCUCUAUCUUGAGUCCCGACUAGACAGAGGUAAUGGAGAACUCGUCAAACCCUUUCGUCAGUCAUAUGCUAGAUUGGCUCGACUCGAAUUCAUCUGUGAAUUUCAUAAAAAAAUUUUUCCAAUAUUCACUCUUACUCAGACCAGAGAUUUUCUGAACUCAGUCUUCCGAAUCGCAUAGGACUUCUCCUUUUCUACUAAGAUCGAUAGAUUCCAUCUAGGUGCAUCCUACUCUAAACAGCAAAUCUGAACCUACAAUAGCCAACAUACAUAGCAAAGAUCCGAAUAGCUAGGGACCAAGAGAACGUACAGUCAAACUAACUAGUCUCGUUGCGAAUAGCCAACACAUUGCAAGUCAAAAGACCAAUCACAUCACUACAGCAUCAAGAAAAUCACUGACGAAUAAAUAGACAUCUAAGUGGUUUCUCAUAUUGAUCAUGCUCAGUGCAAGUUAUUCUCUAACAAUCACCUGUACUCUCACCUCAGUGUCUCUAUACCGCAGACUCGAGACUCACCUGUCCUAAAAGGAGGUGAUCCGUGCAUCGAUCUUGAAUGGAUUGAUUACUGUCCUCUGUGACAAUCCUUCGAUCAAAAGUAUUUAAAAAUUAACCACUAAUGAUGCAUGUCUCAAAUUCUCAACACCUUAAGAAUAUACGAAAUCAUCUUUGUUAAUUUUUAAGAUAAAUGAUGGACAUAAAAGACAUGAUUGAUUAUAAAGAUUGCCAAUCAAGUACAAAACAUGUCCUGAAGAAAAAUAUGUGUCAAUCAAGAUUGAUUUCUAAAACACGCAUCUAACACUCGCAUCGUCUGACAAACAGCAUAGCGGCUACGGUCAGUGCCAUGUUGGCGAUAGCAACAGGAUGCUGUAGCAGACCGUUGGGGGGAGUUCAGGCUCUCCAGCAAUGACAGCGAUGGGAUCUACUGCUACAAGUGGCAUCUCCAUGCAGUCGCAGGAACCGCAGUAGCGGGAGCGGUGACAGGUCUUGUGCUACCCUCUGGCGAGGGCAAUAGUCCACUGCCCUCUCUCCUAUUUUCUCUAGCAAUCGAGGAUAGGGGCGGCACUCGACUGCCCAUACGGCGUGAAGGGGCAUCACGCAUUAGAGGAAGAAGAAAGGGAUUUUGGAUAUCGAGUUUUAGAUCUUAACAGAUCCAGAUCCGAACCCAUUCUAAUUCAAAUCCCACCCAUUAAGGCAUUUGGGUUUCGGGUUUUGUUCCAUUAAGACUACGGAUCAUACCUGGUUCUAUUUUAAACCUUUUCCAAAUAACCCUCUGAAGAACAAUUUAUUAUAAAUUGGUCUGCAGUUUUCUGACAGUUCUUAUUUUAAGGUAGUUGUUUACAGAAACAACUUUUCUGUCAGGAAUUUAUAGUUAAGUCCUCUACUAUUAAGAUUUUUGAUAAAAUCACUGUAACUUGCUCAUUUUUCAUUCGACUUGAGCGAUUUUUGAACCGUUGAACUCGUAAUGACUUGAGGAAUAUUUUGGUUCAGUUCCUCGUAAUGAUAAAAUAUUUAAAUACCCCUAAAUCUAUUAAAUGGUGUCCCGCUCAAUCCUAAUCUUCUUGUCUACUGACCUCUCUCUCUCUUGUUCUCACUCCACCCCAUCGAAACUCUAAUCCUAAAGACUCUUAAGCUUUAUCAUGUCCACACCCCAUGACCUUUUCCUCACCAUAACCAUUUUCUUCCUGUUGUUGCUGGUUUCGGCUGAGGUUGGAAGGUCAGAAACUGGGCCUUGUGCAGUGGUGCUAGAAUGACCUACAAAACAAAGUCCAGAUCGAAAAUUUUCGCUCUGACGAGGAUCCUCCGAUGCUUAAGUUAGGAAUCAGAGAACAAUGGAAGCAGCAACUGAUUCUUUAAGAGGGGUUACUUACCAGGAUCCUCGAGGCUUUAGUUUUUUAGAGAGGAUAUGACUGAACAACCAUGAGAAUGUGUGGUUCCGAAAUUGUUAGACUGUUGGACGUGCUGUUAGUAGGUAAGAUAUUCUAACCCUUAUUUGCUUCCAUGAGAUAUGGGGAGUUAGUUACAUUCGAACUUAUCUACUCAGAAUGAACAGCUACUGCACAUGCUAGAAAAUUAGCUGUCCGAGAUAAUAGAGGAAGCUCACGUGCCAGAUGGAUCGCACAUCAGAUUAGAUAUAAACAGCUCAACUCCACGUACCUUAGCUCGAUGGUUGGAUCGGCAACCAUGAAGUAGCUUGCUGGCUUGAGGUAUCCAUGAUAACACAAUGAUCUGAGGUAUCCACGAUACCAUCGUAACACUACCUCCUACUUCUGAAUCUGAGAAUCAGAUGAAAAGAGUACCUCUGAAGUCGUACCUCAGAUCUAAGGAUGCGCACUCUCAUGCUUUCAUAUGCAUCUCCAGUGUUUAAAAUUGAUGACGUCAGCUUGAUGGAUAGGGCUUGUUGCGAAUGGUCGUGAUUGAUGGGACCACUCAUAUAACGAUUUUCUCGAGAAUUUAAUUUUUCCAGCAGUGACUCUCUGUCUUCUUCUUCGUCUUUCCUUAAAUCCACUUUUCGAGUACAUUGAGGAGGCAACUACAAUCCCCCUCCGUUUCAGAUUCUCGCUGCGACUUUCAGAGACAAGAUGAAUCUAGAGUUCUUGAGAAAGCUUGAACCGGUAUCGGCCCGGAAGAGGCAGGCCAAAGUUCCAUCCACUGAUCCUCCGAACCCCAUGGGUGGUGAUGUAGAGGUUCCGACCACUGAAUCAACUACCAUAGCUGUGGAAGAUGAAAAUUCUCUUUUGAUUGUCGAGUCUACGGUUUCUCCAUUGGAGGUUGUGAUGAAAACUCCACCAAAUGGGAUUCUGACAAAGAAGACUCCAAUGGAGAAGAUACAAGCGACAGAUACAAACAGUCAUCUUGAAGAAGCUCAGAUGAUGGCAGCGGAGACUGGGGAGCCUUUGGAGCAGGUGGCUCCUAUCAAAUGCCUUCCUUUGAUCAUUUUCCAAGCAAGUCCUUCACGACCAGUACCUUCUACUUUAUCCGCGAUGAAGAAUUUGAAGACCACAAUGGAGUUUCUGAGAGAUUUUCUUUCUCCUAUCGAAAAACAGUAUUUGGACAAACAAAGGGCUCAACAGUAGAUGAUGGAUGUCCUUAGGUCUCUUGCUCAGGUAAGGAGUCUUUGGCUCUUUCCCUUUGAUAUCCUACAGCUUGCUAUAUUUAAUAGCUUUGGUAUAUAGAUUGGGCAUUAUCUAGCCAGCUUCAUCGGCUCCACCUUUGAAGCUUCAGCAUUAGACCUUACGAUGGUGAAGGAAGAAAUAGACUGGCUAAAGUAUCUUUUAGAAUAGGAACAAUCGAUUACCACCGAGUUGACCAAGAAAGUCAACUCUUCUGAGGAUGCCCUUCGAGAAGCCCAAAAAAUGAUCGAUCGUCGAGAUGACAAAUUAAGAAGGACUGAGAAGAAGAUUGAAGACCUCAAGAGGCAAAGAUCUAGGGCUGAGAGAGACUGUUGUCGAGCCCACAAUAAUAUAGAGCGCCUAAGGAGGAUGCUCGAAGGAAAAAGGAAUCGAGACUCUAUCCCUCUCGAGGUUCAUUCUCAAAGGAGCCCCAGCAGAAGCUAAGCUAAAAAGGCCAGAAUCUCAGAUAGAUCGGGCCUUAAAGAGAAAACACCUCAGAGGGAUGAAAGUUCUACCUCCAAGAGGAUUUGGAUGACUUAGGAACCGUCUGCACCUCAGAGUGAACUUCAGGAGGCCCUGACAAAUGUAGAGCACCUGAAGGAGAAGCUAAAUGAGGAGAGAGAAGGCCAGACUUUUCUCUACCACCGACUCUUAGAUCAGGAGCUUCUCACUACGAAUGCUCUCAAAAGGAUAGAUCAAUAGGCGAAAAGAGGAACUGAAAUCAUAAACCAGACUUGCAAGACAUCAUUCUCCAUAGGCUUCGAGAAGUAUAAGAAAAUGGCUCAAGCGCACCUUCCUACUGACCAUGUCGAGCUUCUGCAAGCCAGCUUUCCAGAUGAAAAUCUGAAGGUCGUAAUAGAAGACAGCACAGGAAGGUUCGCAAAAAUAUCCCGAUGCAUUAUUGAGACUAACAAAGUCGAUGCGGCCGUCCAGACAGAAGAAAUUGCUAGCAUUGAGGAGGGCUAUGCUGAAGUGAAUCAUCCUGAUAGCGCUCCAAGGCAAUAAUAUAUUUUUCUUUUGUAAUUUGAACUUUAUAAUCAUUUUGAUGCAAAUGAAUAAAACUCAUUUUUAUUAUUAAUGUUCACUAUGUUUGAAUGGAUGAGUGUAAAUCACAUUCCGAGCUAUAUUGGCCAAAUUUCGAUCUAUACUAGAAAUUUAGUUAUAAUUCAAAUCAUAAGGCAUAAUCUAAACCACAAUCCGAGCCAUAAUUCGAGCUAUAUAACUCAUACCUAUCAUGCAGAUUUUGAAAGGAUAUGGAUUCAAAUUACCUCCACAUGGCAGGUAUUAUCGCACAUCUCUUUAUGUCCCUUCGAAAAUGGCGCAGGAUAAGAUUUGCUUGCCACUGGCAUUAACUGCCAUAUUGGCGGUAGGAGCCAUACCUGAUUAGUAAUUGCCACACGUCAAACAUCCAUUCAAGCUCCGUCGAUUCACGCCUCCGAUAAUUAAUGCUCUGAGAGAGGAUAUCGUUGGGAGAUCUUCUGAGUUUGGAUUUACUUAAACCUUAGACGAGACAGGCUUCUAAGAUUUUCGACCAUCCUUUUCUUUUGCCGUAGGUUCCUCUCCUUUGUCUUUCACUUCAGAGCUUUCUUUUACUGCGAAGGAAAUGGGUUCUAGAGACUCUGACUUCAUCCCACUAGAAUUCUAAUCCGAGCAAACGGAGAGGGAUGUGGUACUGCUCCAUGAGCAGUUUCAGAUCCCUCCGACAUUCUAACUAAAAAUUUCGGAAUCGAACGAUUGAGUCUGCCGACCCUCAUGCCGAAUGAGCCUCCAUGAGGAAUGCUUCUGGGCUGGACUAAAGCUUCCCCUUCAUCCCUUCUUUGUAGCUCGUUUUCAAUAUCUUGAUAUGUCACAAAAUUCGGUAGUCCCAAAUUCAUGAAAGCAUAUUUGCAAUUUUACUGCAGUGUGCAUAUUGACUGGGAUUAAUCCCAGCAUCGUACUUUUUCGUUCUUUCUUCAGCCUCAAGAGGCAUCUUGGAUCAUGUGGGUGGUAAUAUAUGACGCCAUGAAGGAAGAAGAAUGCUCGCCCAUUGAUCUAGGAUGCUUCUUUCACUGUCCACAGCUGGAAAGAGCAUUUUCUCUUUGUCUAUCAGACAUCAGGCGAGGAUUGGGGGCUCAUCGCCCAGGAUAAACCUCAAGAGGCUGCGUUGAAGGAGCCUUCAUUAGAUCAGCGCCUAAGGCAAGAGGCAGAAACCUUGCGCAAUUUUAAGGUCCCGAUGCUGAAAGAGUUCCAAUUGGUACAGACAUUGUUUAAUGCCGGUAUCAGCCAGGCCGGUCUCCAAGGUACGCAUGGGUCACCUGCCCCAAAGCUUUGUGUUUUUUGAUUUUUAUUUUACCUUUAUGCUAACCACUUGAUUGCUUUAGUUACAGAGAUGGACCCAAAUUUGCUGAAGCAACUAGAGCUGAAGACCCAUCGAAAAAGGGCAGCAGAGCCUGUGGAUGGCCGAAGCUAGGGAUGAGCAAAAAAAUUUGAAAAAUCGAUUAACCGAUCCAAAACCGAAAAACCAUUUCAAAAAAUGCGGUUAAUCAAACCAUCGAUUUUGGUUUCGAUUUGGAUUGUUUGAAAAAAUUUCGAUUUCAAUUCGGGUUCGAUUUUUUCUUUAAAAAAAUAAUGAUUAACCAAACCGACUAUUAUAUAUAUAUAACAUAUGAAAAAUAUAAUUCAUAUAUAACAUGUAGUUGAGCUUGCUAUUUUUGUUAAGGAUAAUUGACAGGCCAGGAUUCGAAUUAUAGCUUCACACCUUUAUUUCUUUAUAUUUUUUUUGGUUUAAAAAUCUAAAAAAUUCUUAGCCACACUUCUUUGUUCUUUUUCAUUCUUAACCCUAACUUUUCAUUCUUUCUUUUUUGUUCUUCCCCCACCACCACCGCUCUUCUUCUUUCUCUCCGUCCCUCACUGUCGAACUUCUCCAUCCUUUACAGUGGAGCUUUUGUUCUUUUCUCUGUAGCCACCGCACUUCUUCUUCUUCUCCACUAUCACUUUAAUUAUUUUUUAUUUUUAUUUUUAUUUUUUGACGUCUUUUCUUGAUUGUGUUAUUUUUCAAAAUAAUAUCCGUCAAGAAGAUUGCUCUCUUAUUUGUUUUAUUGAAAUUUGACAAACCUAUGUUUUGUUUUUCAGACGCUCUUCUUCUCUGUCCCUCACCGCCAAAAUCCCGACUGAACUGAUCCAUUUUUAUAUAUAAAUGAAAAAAAUUGAUUAAUCGAUUAAUCAAUUCGUUUAAUAUGGUUAACCGAUGAUCGGUUAACCGUAUCAAAUGGAUUGGUUAUGGUUUAUGAUUUGAAAAAAUCAAUGAGUUCGAUUCCAAUUGAAAAUUUGAGCAAUGGUUUGAUUAAUCGAACGAUGCUCACCCCCAGUCGGAGCACCCACAUCAGGAUUAAAAGUACCCCGUGCCACUGACUUCUAGGUCAGAAGGAUCCGAAUCUCUUUGCGCUGACGACUUCAGAGUUGUAAGGGUUCAAUCCGGCUCAUCUGCAUCGGCUUCUAACAGGGAUCAAAGAAGCCAAAUAGAUCAAGUCUCCGAAGAAGUAAUUCUGAGCCUGCCGACCCCUCAAGUCGUCGACUUCUCCCCAGAAGAGGCACCAACCGAGGUAGCUGGGGCUUCUGAAACCGCACCAACUGAUCUAAAGCUCGAGGCUUCGACCUUAGAGGACUACAAACUGGUGCACGAGCUGUUUACUGGGAUGCUCCUCUCGACUGAUGCAAAUGAGCUACUGAUCGGAUCGCAUGGGGAGGUAAGAAAAGGAGCUGUAGGAUACUUCAUCCAGAUAAAUGGAAGCUCCUACAAUAUUUUAUUUAUUCUAAGCAUACAUUUGUGAUAUUAGUGAUAAGAGACUUUCUCUUUUUAAUAGCUCGCUCAUUAUCUAAACGAGUAUAUAGAGCAUUCUCGCGAGGUUUCGAUGGAGGCGAGAAAGCACAAGACUGAUGUCGAAACACUAAAAGUUACGAAGGAUAAGACUGAGAAGGAGGCUGGAGAGGUCUCCAUGAGGGCCGAUGCUGCCAUAAAGAGGGCUAAAGACGCAAAAGCAGCCCUGAGAUGAGCUAUUAAGGAAAACUCUCGGCUACUAGAUAUCCAAGAAGCACAGGCAACGAGAAUAAAGGAGCUUGAAGCUCUGGUAACAAAGAAUAAAGCUACGAUCGAGACAGCAGAAAAGAAGACAGUAAAGGUGAGAGUGGUGCCGAGGCACGGAUCAAGGAGGCCGCCACAAAGGCUACUGAGGACUUUCAGGCAUCAGAGAAAUACUACGAUGAGAAAAUAGACUUUGCCGCUGACGCUUAUAUCGGUGGGAAGCAAUUGAUUCGGAACAGAGUUACUGCCAAGUAUGCAAAAUUAAAUCUAAAUUUUUUGAAUGAAAUCCGAGAACCCACUACAGCCGAUGCACCCACGACGGACACUCCCGCACCAAAUGCUGCCCCUUAGGCUUUCUGUUUCUUUUCUUUUGUAUUUGGACAUUUUAAGGCCAUUGUAAAAGCUUUAAAGAAAUGAAUGAAAUUUAUUUUUCUUCAUAUCCUCCGCAUUUCAUUUAUGCUCGCAUAUUUUUAUUCAUCAAGCAGAGACUAGCUCCGACCUAAGAAACUUAAAAUUACCCCAAUCAAAAGGAUAUCUAAUCCAAUCCCGAUCUUAAGAAUUUAGAUGAAUCCAUCCUGAUCUACGGGACUCUAAGCUUCACCACAAACUUAGUUCCAAUCGUAGGAAGUUAAGUAGAAAUGUUCCAAACGAAGGAACUUUAAUGAAAAUAGUCCCAAUUAAAGGAACUUCAGCAGUUGGAGUUUCGAUCAAAGGAACUUUGAUUCUGAACUAAGGAACCUCAGCAGUUGAAGUUUCGAUCAAAGAAACUUCAGAUCCGAACAAAGGAACCUCAGCAGCUGGAGUUCUGAUCAAAAAAAUUUUGGUUCCGAAUUAAGAAACCUCAGCAGUUGAAGUUUCGAUCAAAAAAAUUUUGGUUUCGAACAAAGGAACCUCAGCAGUUGGAGUUUCGAUCAACGAAAUUUUAGUUUCGAACUAAAGAACCUCACUAGUUGAAGUUCCGAUCAAAGAAACUUUAGUUCCGAACAAAGGAACCUCAGCAGUUGGAGUUCCAAUCAAAGAAACUUGGAUUUCAAAGAAAAUAACCUCAGCAGUUGGAGUUUCGAUCAAAGAAACUUUGUAGAACUCGUCGGACAGGAAUUUCAGCUUUUCAUACCACUUUUAUAUGCAAACAUGAGUUGAUGAAUCUACAAAUUCAUAUAUAUAAUAAUAUGAUAUCACAACAUUACUGAUAAUACAUACGUAGGUUGGUCGAAUUUCACGAUCUAGGGAGUAGAGUCCCGUCGAGUUGCUUCAGCCAAUAGAUCCCCGGGCAUACCACUUCGUCCACCUGAUAGAGACCUUUUCAGUUGGGUGAUAGCUUCCUUUGCUCAGUGGGCUGCGAAACUUCAGCUCACCACAACACCAGAUCACCAACUCGAAAUUCUUUGGUCUUGAUCCGGAUGUUAUAAUACUUAGCCACCCUCUGACGAUAGGCAGCCAUUCUCAUGACGGUACUGCUUUCUUCGAUCAAGUCAAGAUUAGUCCAGAGCCAUACAAAGUUGGUAUCUUCAUUGUACUCUUCAACUCUGAGAGAUGAGAGCCCAAAUUCUACAGGUAUGACUGCUUCAAUCCCAAAUACAAGAUUGAAAGAAAUCUCACCAAUUGGGAUCCUCUGUGUGGUUCGAUAAGUCAUAACACAUGAUGAAGCUCAUCUAUCCAUGAUCCUUCUGUCCAAUCUAACCUGACCUUUAAGCUCUAUAGGAGAGUUCUAUUGAUCACUUCCAUCUCUCCAUUUGCUUGUAGGUGGCCUACCGAUGUAAAACGAUGUUCUAUUCUAUGACUUUCACAGAAUUCGCAGAGUCGAGCACCACUGAAUUGUCUGUCGUUGUCUGUGAUCAACACUUUGGAAAGACCAUAUCAACAGAUAAUAGAUUUCCAAAUAAAAUUCUUUACUCUUACCUCGAUUAUACAGAUCAAAGGCUCGACUUCAAUCUACUUUGUAAAAUAAUCAAUAGCCAUCAGAAAAAACAUGCGUUGAUCUGACGCUCAAGAAAAAAGAUCAAGAAUGUCUAUUCCCCAUUGAGCAAAUGGCCAAGGAACACUGAUAGGAGUCAAAAGUGCUGCCGGCUGAUGCUGAAUAUUAAAAUUUCUCUAACAUCGAUCGCACUUCCUAAUGAAUCUGUUUGUAUCUUGUUACAUAGUGGACCAAUAGUAGCCCUAUCGAAAAAUCUUUUAUAACAGGGAUCUACCCCCCAAGUGACAAAUAAACCUCCCAUAGCGCAUAAUCAGCUUCAGAUGGAUGCAAGCACUUCAGGACAGGCAAAAAAAAUGACUGCUUGGACAGCUUAUCAUCAUACAAGACAUAGUAAGCGGUCUGCUUCCUUAUCUUUUGGGCCUCCUUGUGAUCAGACGGUAACUCACCUGAUCUUAAAUAUUUGAGCAAAAGAUCAAUCCAGUUGGAUUCCUUAUCAACUUGCUGGACAACAAGAGGCUCUUCAAAGCUCAAGAUCUUUAAUACCUCGAAGUCUCUUUUUCUAAGUCAGCAGGCAAUAAAGUUGCUAAUUUUGACAGUACGUCUGUCCUGACAUUUUCCAUUCUGAGGACCCGUUAAAUAUCAAAACUCAAAAAGGAUAAGAUUAAAUCCUUUACCUUUUGAAAAUAUCUUUUCAUAUUUUUCUCUCGAGCCUCAUAUCCACCCUUGAUUUGUCCAACUACCAAUUAGGAGUUGCCGAAUAUCUUUAGAUUUUGAGCUCUUAUUUCUCUCGCAACUUUUAUGCCAGCAAUCAGAACUUCAUACUCUGCUUCAUUAUUGAUAGUCGAAAAUUUAAAAUGCAGAGCGUACUCUACCACAUCACCUUCAGAAUCGGUUAAGAUAAGUUCAGUCCCUGAUCCUAAUAAAUUUGACAAGCCAUCGAUAUACAGGAUCCAUAACUCCUCAGGAUCAGCUCCGGUAUCUACUUUUUCACUUCUCGAGCUUUUCUCAGCUCUUGAGCUCUCUCCAUUUUUUGAGCCUUUUCCACUCUUUGAGCUCUAUUCGUUCGAAAUGGUUCAUUCAAGGAUAAAGUCCGCUAAUACCUGAGCUUUAAUUGAAGGCCUCGGAUGAUACUGUAAAUCCAACUUUGAGAGUUCUAGAGCCUACUUUGCAAUAUGUCCCGAAGUAUCUGGACGAUGGAGAAUGGCUUUGAUCGGCUGAUCAAUAAGCAACACAACAGUAUGAGCCUGAAAAUAUGACCGAAAUUUUCUCACUAUGAUGACUAGCACAAAAAUCAACUUCUCCAAUUUGGAGAAUCUGAUCUCUGUAUCAUGAAGGACUUUGUUGGUAUAAUAUAUGAAUUUUUGAAUCCAUCCUUCUUCUCAGACAAGGACUGAGCUAAUCAUCACUAGAGAAACAAUGAGAUAUAAUAGUAGCUCCUCACCAAGCUGAGGCUUUGCGAGCAAUAAUGCCAAGCUGCGAUAUUGUUUCAACUCCUCAAAUGCUUUCUGGCAUUUAGUAGUCCACUGAAAGUCUUUUAACUACUUGAGGGUCUGAAAAAAAGAAGACAUCUCUCGACCAAUCUAGAGAUGAAGCAAUUGAGCGAAGCAAUUAUGCCAAUCAAAUGCUGCACCUCUUUAACAGUUAUUGAUGGUGUCAUCUCAAGGACUGCUUUGAUUUUCUUGAGAUUUACCUCGAUGUCUCUUUUUGAGACCAUAAAUCUGAGAAACUUGUUUGAGGUAACUUCGAAGGCACACUUUACUAGGUUUAGCUUCAUCUGAAAUUGGCAGAGAGUGUCAAAAGUUUCUUGGAGGUCAGCAAUAUGAUCUAGAGUAGCUCGGCUCUUGACCAGCAUGUCAUCUACAUAUAUCUCCAUAUUGCGGCCGAUUUGAUCUUUGAAGAUCUUGUUCACCAACUAUUGAUAGAUAACCCCUGUAUUCUUCAAGUCAAAGGACAUCAUCCUGUAACAAAAAAGCCCAUAAUCAAUCAUAGAAACUAUUUUCUCUUCAUCCUCAGGCGCCAUCCAGAUCUGAUUAUAAUCAAAGAAGGCAUCCAUUAAGGUGAGGAGCUCAUGCCCUGAAGUUACAUCCAUCAACUGAUCGAUCUGAGACAAUGGAUAGCUGUCCUUAAAACAGACUUUAUUUAAGUCGACGAAGUCAAUGCACAUGUGCCACUUUUCGUUUGUCUUUUUGACCAAAACGAUGUUCGCCAACCAGUUUGGGUACAUUGCUUCUCUAAUAAAGCUAGCCUUGAUCAACUUAUCCACCUCCUCGACUAUAGCCUUCUAAUGUUCCGAGAUAAAGCUUCGCUUUUUUUGCUUCAUCGAACGACAAGUUGGAUCCACCUUUAGGUAGUGAGAUAUAACUUUCAGAUCUAUACCAAAUAUGUCCGUGGCCGAUCAAGCAAAGAGAUCCGCAUUUUCUUACAAAAGAAUGGUUAACCAAUUUUUUGUUAUCUCAUCAAGGUGUGAGCCGAUCUUCACUGUCUGAUUGGGAUUCUCUUUUCUUAGCGGGACCUUUAAGAGGUCCUCAAAUGGCUGGGCACGUUCCUCGACCAGAUCAUCUUAGGCAUCCAGCCUAUUGAAAGUUUGGAUCGGACCUCUGCUUGGGAUGGCUGACCUUCUGCUCGAAACUUGACAACAAAAUAUUAUCGAGCCAUAGUCUGAUUGCCUCAUAUUUGCCCAACUCUAUUUUUUGUUGAAAACUUCACCAUCAAGUGAUAGCUCGAUACUACGAUCUUUAAAGUCCAUAAACUCGGAUAACCAAAGAUUGCAUUGUAGGCUGAAGGAAGCUUAAUCAUCGAAAAAUCGAUUUGGAUCGUCAUUCGCUGCGGUAGAGUGAACUGUAAUAGGCAGCCUAAUCAUCCCCUCUGGAAUCAUCGAGCCUCCAUAGAAACUCUGAAUUGGGGUAUCAAACCUACUCAAUUGAUCUAGAAUAAAUCUCAUUUGGAAGAAGGCAGAGUAAUACAAAAUAUCGAUCGAGCUUCCAUUAUCAAUAAAUACACGACGUACAUUAUAAUCAGCAAUAUUAGCAAUUACAACCACCGCAUCAUUAUGCAAAGCUUGCACAUCCUCUACGUCUUGCUUGAUAAAUAUAAAGGCAUCCCCGAGUCCAUCCUCAAGCCUCGGUCUCUUCAUCUCUGGAAGCUCCGCUGACCCAAACGACCCUCCAAUUAUCAUGUGAAUUUCUCCUCGUAUAGGUCGAUCUUCUACUACCACCUAUCCUUUUGCUUCUGGUCUCUCCUGCUGUGCCGGUGCUAGAUGCAGCUGAGGCAAAGGGAAUGACUGCUGAGGCAAAAGAGAAGAUCGUCGUGGAGGUACUCUCCCUCGAAUGAAGCGAUUUAACCUCCCCUACCUAGCCUCUCAAUCUCGUCUUAGAGCUGGAGGUAAUCUUCAGUAUCGUGACCGUGGUCACGAUGGUAAAAGCGAUACUUAUUUGGAUCACAGCACUCAGAUUUCGUCCGCAUCCUUGGAGGCUGAGGCAGCUCGGUUCGUACCUCCAUCAAUAUCUCUCCCUAAAAACAUUCAAAGAUGUAUAAUUAGUAUAAUGCCUCGAAGGUGAGGGUUGUCGAUCCCUUCUUUGAGGACUCUGAGAUCGACGAUUCCAAGGGCCUCCAUUUUUUCACCUUUGAAAUGGAGAUUGAAAACACUGAUGGGUUCUCCCCUCUCAUCUUAGAGAGCGUUCCUUAUUCUGUCCUAUCACAACAAAACUGGUAGGGGUCUCUUCUGCAAAAACCUCCUCCGUACGGACAUACUUCUCCGCACAGACAAGCAUAUCGAGAUAAUCAUGAGGAAAAAACUUCAUCAACGAUUUUUUAAGAUCGUUCUUCAAUAGUCCAUCCAUCAUAGCGAAUAUUGCGAUCGAUUGAUUCAGAUCGUGAACCUCCAGGGUUGCCAUAUUAAAAUGGUUAAUAAAGGCACGGAUCGACCCACCUUCCUUCUACUUGAUGGUGUGGAGAUAGUCGGAUCACUUCUGCUAUCGCUGGCUACUAACAAAGUAACUGAUGAAAAAUCGAUACACCUCUUCAAAAGAGUGGAUUGAGGUCAGUUUCAAACUUGAGUACUACUGCCGAGCCGCCCCUUUAAGAGUAAUAAGGAACACUUGAUAGAGGAUGCCAUCUGUCGCUCCUUGAAUGAGCAUCGUCAUCUUGAAAGUAUCCAGAUGAUCGAUAGGAUCAGCAGUCUCAUCGUAGGUCUCAAACUGAGGCACCUUAAAGUACUGAGGAAGUGGCUCCUGCAUUAUCCUCGACACAAAAGAUGGCUCACUGUUGAACCGUUCGUAGGGCUGUACCAAGGAGGUAUUGUUGAGAGCAUUCUCGAUCUUUUUAUUGAGUGCUUGGACCUUCUCUCUAUGGUAAGAUCCCAAAUGGUGCAGGCUUCUGAAUGCCGGAGAAAAUGAUGAUCAGAUGUUGAAUCAUGCCCUGAUCACGGGCUGAAAGAUCGCCGUCUUGCCAGUUGUUGGGCCUUAAGACGGUUCUGGCGGUUUGCCUCCUCUUUGGACUCUACAGAAGCAUCCGCACCUGCUCAGGUUGUGGUGGCAGUUGGGAAGCCGGAUUCGGCUAGGAUGCCGCCAUAGGAGGUGCCGGCGGCACCGUCAAGGGAAGUACUAAUAGCACCACUGAAGGAGGUGCAGGAGCAGUCCGAUCAGACUACAGUACCGUCAGUGGAGGUGUAAGAACAGUUUAGACCGUCUGGACGAUAGUUGUCAGAGUCUGAACCUACUGGAAGAGCAGGUUGAACUGAUCUGCCGUGAUUAGCACUAACUGGGUCGACGGAGGAGUCUCCGUCACCGAUGGCUACACCUGGCUGUCAAUCUGGUUCUCCACCUGAUGGGAGGCGGCGGUGUUGGAGAGACGAGAUGAGACUUGCUUUGGUGGCAUACUGCGAAGAUUACACCCUUCUUUUAUCUACUACUGCUGGUUUCGGCUGAGGUCAAAAGACGAGCAACUAGGUCUUGCACAGUGGUGUUGGGGUGACCUGCAAAAUAGAAUUCGGACUGAAGAUUUUCACUUCAAUGAGGAUCCUCCGAUGCUCAAGUCAGAAAUCAAAAAACAAUGGAAGCAGCAACUGAUUCUCUAAGUGGGGUUACUUAUCUGGAUCUUCAGGGCUUUAAUUAUUUAUAAAGGAUAUGACUAAACAAUCAUGAGAGCAUGUAGUUUUGAGAUUAUCGGGCUGUUGGAUGUGCUGUUAGUGGGUGAGAUAUUCUAGCUCUAAUUUACUCCCACGAGAUGUGAGAAGUUAGUUACGUCCGAAUUUAUCUACUCAGGAUGAACAGCUACUGCACGUACUAAGAAAUUGAUUGUCCAAGAUAAUAGAAAAAGCUCACAUGCCAGAUGGGCCGCAUAUCAGACUGGAUAUAAACAGUUCAGCUCCACAUACUUUAGCUUGAUAGUUGGGUUGGCAAUCACAAAAAUAGCUCGUUGGCCUGAGAUAUCCAUAAUAACACACUGAUCCAAAAUAUCUAAGGUAUAUCUAAGGUACCACUGUAACACUUCCCAAUUUUAGAAUUCACUUAAGUUGCUUUAUAUCUAAAAACAUUGACAGCCAGGUGCUUUUGCACGUGCAUUAUAGUUAAUAAACAAUUAGUGUGCUAAGUUUGAGCCCUGGACUAAGUUGAUAAAAUGUUGCAUGUCCCUAUGAAAGGAAGGCCACUAAGAAGUUCUAUUACAAGCAGCUCCCUAUACCUUUAUUUUAGUAGUAGUUGAACGUUAGGAGGAAACAAGUACCCUCAACUUCCUCUAUGGCCAUAAGGAGGUAAACUAAUCGGCAUUGCUUGCAUGCAUCUUCAAAUUGGAUCUAGUUAAUGACAAUAUGCCCAAACAAGAACCUUAUCUCUUUUGAAUCAAAGAAAUGAUGAACGAUCCAUUCACCUCUGUAUUUUCAAAUGGAGUUUCUUAACACUUUCAUAAAAGAUAAUGUUCUUGUCUGUUAUGAUGGUGGAUGAAUUCCUAGUUGCAAUGCAAGUGGUGUGAACCUUAAUCACUUACUGAUGAGUUCAAGGAGUGUAAAUACUCAAUGAAUCAUUUAGACAUUCCUAACAUCGUUUGGAGUCAAGAUGGCUUCAACAACAACCUCCUCAUGUUCCUACCAUAUGGCUUCAUCAUCCAUUGCAUGUUCAUCCCUCUGAUACUCCAUGUCUUUGACAUCAACAUGACUAGCCAAAUGCGUUCACGGAUUGUAUACUCUAGGUGGACACUUUCUGAUUGUUUUCCAACCAUCCCACAUUUAAGUCUCUUAAAGGCAUUAUUUUAUGACAUAAGGCCUAAAAUUCCAUGUCCUUUACUUACAUCACUAGCAAAAGCUCCCAUGAUGGUUAUAAUUAGCGGUGAGAUAUGGCGGCCUCUAUCAAAAGCAAGAUCAUGACCAACCUGCUGGUUGACACUUAAUCAGCAUUAUCUGUUUCAUGAAAUUGUUAGGUAAACUUCUCAGCCUUCACUGCUUAUUAAUAGCAUCAUCAACAUGGACAAACAUAUGUAAAGCUACGUGACCUGGAUCCAAUCACUCAAUCCCAUGAUGUAAUAUGCACCAGCUUACUCUUCAUUCUGUUCAAGUACAUUCUGGAGAUCAGCAAGCAAAUUUAACCGGGCAUUUCCUCAAGAUUUAUUCACCUGCAUCAGACCAAAGAACUGCUGGAAUAUGAUUACUUAGUCAUCAGUAGAAAUAUUUCUCCUCAGUUUCUUCGUUUUAGGCCAGUUUUCCACUUUGAUUUUGCCUACCUAACCAAACCUUAUAGAAUAUAUUGAACCACAUCGGAGCAGUUUCAUUCAUCUUCACUGUAACUACUAUACUUUCUAAUCAUCUACAAGUUCGUGCACUGAAAACUCAUCUAGAUCCAAACAAACCUGAUAAUCAUCAAUAUUGACUUUAAUCCUGCAGUCCCAAGACUACUCAGAAGCUCUCGCUAAACUAUUCUUUAUCCCUUAACGGUGCUCCUCAUAAGACUCAUGAUCACAAUCAAAUCCAUCAAUAGCAUCAAGGUUUGACCAUAAAUCUAAGACAAUAGCAUCUUGCUGGUCUCCUGCAAGAUGGAUACAGUUAUCGAGCAGAAUGCAAUGAUCAGGGCCUCAUAUCAGCUGUCAGAUUAAGCCACUAUGCAAACAUUCAGUUAGCUGCCUCAACAUAGCCUCCGGUUUAUGUAAACAAUCAUAAGUAUGUUGCUAUGACACCCCUCUAAGCUGUGGAAUAAAAAAGUACCUGGCUGGAUGCCUCGCUCAGCCAUUAAAAUGAUGGAAGCAUAAACUAAUGCCUAAGAUGCUUGAGAUCAUAGAAUUAUACAAUCACUAGAAGCUUCUAAGAUGCAAAAUGUGCAAACUAUACAAAAAUAAUGAAUGAAAUAGGCUAUGACCAAAAUAUGCAGUAACAGCAUGUUAAAAAUACACAAAUUCAACAAAAAUAAAUCAAUAUAACAAUUUACAAUCAAAAUCUCCCAGGCAACAUGAUAAAACAAUCUACAUCAAUAUUGCACUAAGUCCAAAGAUUAACAAGUAAACUCUAGUACUUGAAUUAAAAACUCAAGCCCUUUCUUUUGUCCAAAUUAAACUCUCAGACAACAUGCAAAAUUCUACAAUUUGCACCUAAAUCUAAAAUUAAAUAAAAAAAAUUCUCAAAACCCCUGAACAAUCUGCUUUGAAAACAAAUCUGAUGCUACUUAAGGUGGCCUGUGGAACUUGUGAGGCCUGAUGUGAAUCCCAUCAUGCAAUUUUCAGCAGAAGGUAACUGGACGCAGCAGAUUUCUAAUAUUCGGGACAAUUAUACAUGCACAAUUUAAAUGUUGGCAUCCAGAAACCAACAUGAUCUAACCAAAUAGCAUGAUCACAGCCAGCAAAAGCAGAAUGACUCUAAACAAUAACAGCUAUAUAACAGCCCGAGCAAAAACAAAUCUCAAACAAUUGGUAGCAAGUAGAUGAUCCUAUCAAGAAAAUUUGAAGUCCACACAAAAACCCUAGUUGUAAAUGUUUGGAUUGUAAAAGAAGGAAAUAUCGCAUAGUGGACAAAGAAAGCUAAAAGGAAAGCAGAUGCAAUAACUAAAGAAAGAUCUAACCAAGCCCAUGCUUACAACAAACUCUCAUGCUCACAAGCUCUGUAAAGUAGCCAAGAAGAUAUGGAUAUCACAUGGGAACCAUGCUAUGGAUAAGAACAAAGGAAGAGGUGGGAGGAUGAAUAAGGAACGAGAGAAAAUAUGGAAUGAACAAGGGAAAGAAGAAGAAAAUAGAAUAGAGAUUGAAAUGGUUGAGGUAUAAGAAAAAAAGGAGAAUAGAGAAAGGGAUGGUUGGGUUAUAAGAAUAAAGUGAGAGGAUGUUAUGACUGCAAAACUUGAUGGUUGACCAAGGUGAAGGGUGGUCAUCACAAAUAAUGACUAGGUAGGCUGAUCCUGAUACCAGCCUGAUCUUGAUACUUGCUGCUUUAGGGUUUAUUUUUACUUGAUUAUAAAAUCCUAUGAUCAAUAUUUUUAUUAGGUGCUCUGCAGAAGACUAUGGUGGGCUUGACUUAACCGUAACAUAUGGAUGUAAACUUCAUCCAUAAGAUAAUCUCACCUCCCAAAAAACAAAAAUGAAGGAAACAUGACAAAAAGAUGCUCAUGAAUCAAUGUAGUACUGGCGAUGUCAGCACCACCUAAUGGUGUAUGUGCCUUGGAUAAAAUUGAACUUUAAAUUGGAAAUGUGGAAUCAAUAAUUAGAAGUUCAGAAUAUAAGAGCCCACAUAUAUAAAAAACUAAAACAGAGUAUUUAAAAUGCAGUUUUAGUGUAGGUCUCAACCAAUUUUCAAUGGCAAGAGCCCAUCUUAUUCUCAAAAAAAAAAAAAGAAUAAUAUAUUUCUAUUAUGAUACUGGGUGCAAUACAAAAGAAACCUAAAAGAAACAGUGUAGAUCUAUCUGAAGAAACAUGUAUUAAGUGGAUAUGCACUUUGGGUUGUAUGAUCAUCAGACUUUGAUGAGACUUAACAUAGGAUCUUUCUUUUUUUUGGGUGGGGCGGCCAGAGUGGGGGAUUAAAUUUGAUACAACUGCAUCAAAGGAAGUUUGAGAGGUCAACAAUGAAUGAUAAAGUGACAAAAAAAUGAAUUUAAAUGAUAUCAACAUGCGCAACAAAAUAAAAAUGGAGUCUUCAGUCAGUAGAAAGGUCUCAGAUAUGUCUUGAUGGUUGAGAGAGCAAAAGAAGGGAAGAUAUCAGAGAAGUUUUAUCAGAUAGUAAAAUAAGGAUUUUAGAAGACCUGAAUAAUGCACUGAGGAAAGUCCAAGGAAAAUAUGAUUGAAUAUGAUCGUUAGUUAUAAUUCACAAAAUCAAUAUAAUCAUUACUUGGAUACUUUACUUUUGACCUUAAUGAAAUGGAAUGCUAUACAUGAAAAACUCCAAAACUCCAAGAACCAACAAUAUUUGGUGCCGCAAUUGACACCUCAUCAAAUGAGAAUCCAAAGGAGGCAAACCUGAUUUUUCUUUGAAAACAGUAUAAAAGGUACAUGCUGAAUUCAAGACCUACCUACCUAACAUGAUCCUCACCCUUAAUUUCUGAGUUCAGCACAUUUCCCAUACCUUGCCACCACAUGAAGAUGCAAGCGAAACAAGUAAGGUCCAAGCUUUAGGUUGAACCUGGCAAUGCUAAAAUACAGAAAGUUUUCAAACCCUCAAUUUAGGUGCCUCCAUGUCAUCUCCUAUACUAACAAAUCAAUUAUGCGCUACUAAGCUCUAUAAAUAUUCCAUCUCUAACAAACCCUCAAAAAGCAACCUCCUCUCGCAAAUUUCUAUAGGCUCUGAAAAAUCCAAAACAGUCCUGAGCAAAACUACUCUUCUUUCUCCCUAACAUGCCCAAGUUAUAAUGCUAAAGGCCAGAACCUGUUACUGAUGUUGGAACCUAAAAAGCUACAAAUCUUUCCUGGAUCUAUAUCAGACCAUUUGCUAGCUGGUUCAAAUUCCAUGAGGGCCUGUUUGGCAUCGUUGUUAGUGUCGUUGUUUUGUUUUUUUUUCCUCCACAAAUCUGUGAAAUAUCAAAUGGAGGUUGAUGUUGAAGAUAGCAUUUGCACAAAACUUCUGCCAUUCUUUGUUUUCAUCUUUGCACUUUUCUGAAAGCAAUGUAUCUUUGCUUCCAAAAGAUCUAAAGAUUUUACAAACAAUUUCAGACAACAAAUGGGUUUCAUCCAAAAUGUCGUUCAGUCUACUUCAUUUUACUCCUUAGGUUCUUGAAAACAAAAUUAGGGGAAAAAAAAACCAAAGGGGCCCUGAAUACAACAGAGGGGGGAACAAAAGAAAGCAUGAAUACAACUGUUGGGGUUUUCGAGAUCUCUGUCAUCAAUUAUAUUGUAAGAUAAGAAGGUAUGAAGAGGGGGAGAGGGAUUACCUGGAAAAGUUGGUGGAGAUCGGACGGUGGGAGAGGAACGGGAGGAACCGCCGUCGGAGAGGAGGGAGGGAGGCUUUCGUGGACGCCCCCAUCACCACCGCCAUCGUCGUCGGCGACGUCGCUCAGCAGAUUGCCGAUGCAGAGCAGUGGGCCGCCCACUCCACGCAUCUUUCUUGGUUGCUUUCGGGGUUUGUAUUCUCUUUUCCCGGUGAUGAACGGGCUGCUUUUCCUUUGUCCGGGGAUCUAUAUUGCUCCCCAUCCCAGAACCAGAAGCUCUUAAUAACGCAGUUAUCAGCAAAUAACGGACCCCUCCGAAACUGCUACAAUGAAAAUAACAACCGUUAUUUCCACCACCUUGCUGGACACGCAGCUAUCUAAAUUAUUCUCCAAAAUUAGUUUUCCUAUCAUAUCACUGUGUUCCUUUGUUAUAGUAUUAUUUUAUAAUAAUAUAAUAUUAUUUUAUAAUAAUAUAAUAUAAUUUUAUAAUAAUAUAAUAUUAUUUUAUAAUAGUAUAGUAUUGUUUUGUAAUUGCAAAGACAAUUAGAUUAUUUCAUCUUUAUUUGGGUAGUUAUUUUUAAAUUAUAUUUUAAAUGAAUAGCUAUUUUUAUUUAAAAUAUAAGUGGAUAGCUACUUUUAAGUUUAAAUUCAAGUAAGUUAUUUUUUCUAAUUUUUUCGUUCUAAAAUAUGUGCUAUUAUGUUAAAUAAUUGCUCCACAAAUGAUAUUGUAAUUAGAAGAGUUCAUGAUCAUUUUUAUUACAGAAUAUUAUUUAAUAAAAAAUAUAAUCAUAUUAAAUAUUAUAUAUAUAUAUAUUAAAUAUAUAUUAAAUAUUAUGGUUCAGGAUGGGAUGAAAAUAAUUCAUAAAGUUAUUGAAUGCAUAAGGCAGAUUAUUAGAUAUAUGUCUACAACUUCAUCUCGAAUGCAAGGAUUUAAUAAAAUUGCAUAACAUAUGAGAUUUUCUGUUAAAAAAAAGCUCACUUUAGAUGUUGCUACAAAAUAAAUUCUACUUAUGAAAUAUUGAAUGAUACAAUUAGUUCUGAAAAUAUUUUUAUUAGAUAUGCGACUAAGUAUUUAUAUAUAUAUAUCCCAGCAAUGCUGAAUGGAAAUAGAUUGAUGUGAUUCUUAAAUUUUUAAAAGACUUUCUAUACGCCACUAAAGUAUUUUUUGGUUAAUCUCAUAUCUAAUUUGUAUCUAAAAUAAGUUUGAGGAAUAAAAAUUUUAUUAAUGCAUAAAAGUGUUGAUACUAAUAAUACACUGAAGUCAUUGACAAAUGAGAUGCAAAAUAAAUUCAACAAAUAUUAGUCUCAAUGUGAUAUUUUAUUGUAAUUGCUUUCAUUUUGGAUCCUAGAUCAAAGUUGAUAUUUAUAAAGUUUUUUAUAUCAAAUGGCAUUUGAUGCGGAGGAGAGCAAGAAAAAAAUUGAUGAUAUUUGUACUUAUCUUUAUUAAUUUUAUUAUAAAUAUGUAGAUGCAAUAAGAGUGCAUCCUUUUGUAGAUUCAAGCGAGCUAAUAUCUAAUUUUGAUGGACAAAGUGAUAUAAAUUUAGUUUCUUCUUUUAACUUGAGUAAAAUAAAUUUGGCAUAGAUUUUGUUCAGUUUAAAAGUAAAGUUCUUCGAAAAUAUCAUAGCUAGAUAAUAAUUUAGAUGAUGAUAUACUUUCUGAUUUAAGGAACAAGUAAUUUGAUAUUUUAUUAUGGUAAAAGAGUAAUGCAGUAGUCUAUCAUGUAUUAUCGAGAAUGGCUAGAGAUAUUCUCAUUAUUUCAAUCUCUAGUAUUUUAUCAAAGUUGGUAUUCAGCACUGGUGUUAAAGUUGUGCAUCAACGUCGGAGUUCAUUGAAUCUGUCUACUAUCGAGGCCUUAGUUUAUACCUAGAAUUGGCUUCAUGAAAAAUACACUGAAGGAUAUAAAUAUUUUAAAUUUUUAUAAUAUUUUUUAUUUACUUAUAGUGCUUAUAUUUCAAAGAUUUAUGAUUGAUAUGUUUGUUAACAAUUAUAAGUAACUUUAGUUUUUAAAAUUGAAUGUAGAUGAUAGCAUCUCAGAGCACAAUGAGUAGUAAAGUUGGGACAUGGAUAUAAUAUUAUCUAACCAUCUUUAUAAUUUUUUUAUCUAUAUCAAGUUAUAAAUUUUUAUAUUUAAAUUUUUUCUAAUUAUUUAGUUUAUUUUAAAUAUAGAUUUUUAUGAUAAUGGAUGAAUGAAGAUGAAGGAAAAAAAUUUGCUGGAAUUGAAAAAUAUUUUUUUAGCUAUUCGAUCAUACUUUAUUUUUAUUUACUUUUGGAUAGAUUCAUUGGAUAAUUUUGGAACUUUUUUUUUGUAACUUUUAAUUUAACAGCAUGUUUAUCUAUUGGUAGCUUGAUGAAUUUUAAUGAUACUUUUAUUGAGUUAUCUAUUGGAAUAAAAUUAAUUUUUGAGAAGACAAUGGCGCUUUGGUCAUCAGCAUCAUGAGAGGAGUUGCCUUUGGAUGCCAUCGAUGUGUUUGGUUUCUCUUCCUUGGGAGUAUAAAGAUCCACUGCUUUGGUCGGAGAGAGAAUCCAAUGUUCUUCCUUUGCUAGUAGCUUGUUUCGAAGUUUCUUUCUUUUAGAGUAAUGCUGAUAUUUGCUACAAUUUGAUGUUCCAAAUAUUUUGUAGAAAUAUGGGUCAUUUGAAGCUCUCUACAUUCAUCAAAACUCAGUUGGUUAAACCUACCUAAGGAGUACUUAGGAGAUGUUUGGUAGCAUGUACUCCUGAGAGAAUUAUAUGUAAUCUUAUAACAAGUAAUCAGAUUACACUGUUUGUUUUGUUACUUUUAUAGAUAAUACUACAUUACAUGUAAUACAGCAUUAUCUUAAAAAAAAAUAAUCUGAUUACUUAGGGAGAGGUGGCUAUAUGACUAUAUAUAAUCUUACAAUCCUGCAAUCUUGCAACAAGAUAACUUCAGGACCAAAAUAUCCUCAUCAAAAUAAAUCAAGAUAGAUCAACAUAAAUUAUGCAUAGUCUCAGUUGGUGAAAAUAAAAAAGAAAACAUAAUGGGUGAUGUCACGAAAAAUUAUUGGUCUCAAAAUUAAGUUGUCCCUCUAGAAAAUAGACAAUAAUCAAUAAACAAGGAUGGGGGUACUUUGAAAAAAUUAGCUUAUAUUCCAUAUAAUUUAAAUUGUAUAUCAAAUAUUGUAAUGUAGGAUUCUCUAUAAUUUUACAACAAUAAUACUGUAUAUACUAAACACUGUAAUAUAAAUUUUUUUAUAAUUUUAUCAAGUAAUCAUAUUCCCUCUGCAAUCAUAUUAUCAUAGCAAUAUUUCCUAUGUAAUGUGCCAAAUGCCACCUUAUUAUUUCCUCGAUAGGAAUCUUAGUUUAAAAGUGGGCUCAACAUGAAAUUUUAAUUUUCACAAUAAAUUUGAUGGAGUUUGCUCUCUGUAUGUAUGCAUUGAUAGCUCACUAAUUUGAAAAAAAUUAAGAUGAUUUUUUUGUCAUGCUAUAAUACAGAACAAAUAUACCCACAGCGUUGUGUUUUAGGCAUGUUUUUGAUUCAUUAAAGAUUUAAUUUUUCACAAGAAAGUACUCAUCAUAUUGACUAGUGUUCUUCUAUCUAUAAAACAUUAUUUGAUGAUUAUUAGAAUUGACAUAUGUUUUAGUGAUUGAAUAACCAAGUGUAGUCCCUCCAAACAUGGAUCUUAUAGAUAAAAGGGAUGUGUAACAGUUCUUAGAGUUUGCAUCACCAACAUCAAUUAUUCCUUAAGUGUCCAAGUUUUCACCAAAAACUAUAUUUAUUGCUCAAAUUUACUCCCUGUGAACCAACAUCAUCUCCUAGUUUCAAUGAGAUGGCAUCAAUGAUUUGCGAAAAACAAAGAAGCUAAAAUAAAAAUAUUAUUCAAUUUUCAUUGUUCAUAGAAUCAUAUAUUAAUAAUAUUAUCUUUUUAUUUUUGUAGGUUCAGAUCAGCCUAAUAUUUGAUCCAAAUAAGUAAUUCGAGCCAUUUGAUUGGGUUCGAGCCAGACUUGGGCAUAGGCCGGACCUGGGCAUGAAUUUUUUAAAAAAAAUUGGCCUGAGUCUGGCCCGAAGACCAAAAAAUAUUUUGGAUCAGGCUCAAAUAGAGAUGUGGCCCGGCUUAUUUCCGGCCCUAUUAAUAGGCUUGAACUUGAAAAAGCUCAAAAUUUUUCAGACCAAGGCUAACUUUUAAAAAUAUAUAAUGCAGACCUUAUGGCACACCAUUGGUACCUUCUGCAUAUGAAUCAUGGACGGUUUUGCUUUAUCUAUUUACACCCAACUUUAUGAAUGACCUUGGGCCUCUCCGAUGCCAAUUUCUAUUUAAUUAUUAUUUGCAAGCAGUAAUAUUUAUUGCUUAGCAGCUGCAUUUGAAUAUCUAAGAACUAACCAUGAGUGACAAGAUUUAACUAUUUUUAUUUUUUGGUAAGACAAGAUUUAACUAUUUGAAAUUACCCCCUUGACUAGCUAACAAGUGAAGAAAGUUAUUCCAUGUUUGGUUUAAAAAUUGAGGAAUAAUAAAAAAGCAAUGAUAAAAGUGACUCACAAAGAUAUAAAUCAUCACAGAAUUGGAGGCGGAGGAAGUGUUAGCCUAAUUAACUUCAUUUCACUCUAUCUCAUGAAAUAAAAUUAGACAAGUUAAAUAUCUUUUUCAUCUUUCUACCCAAAAAUAUCCCUAUCAACUACUUUGAGGGUGUGUGCAGGUGGAAUGUCAUGUUGGUGCUAUCUUUGUUAUUUGCAGCUAUUAUCUUAGGGCAAUACCUUGGAGAAGUGCCCUAGAUAAUAUAUCAUAAUGUUUGAGAUUUUGGAAGCUGAUAUUGGUGUAAGAGUAAAAUGAAUAUAUUAUGAAGCGGGAGGCCAUAUAUUACAUUUGAUUUUGGCAAAUAAUUGAAGCUCCAAUUAAUCAUGUGAAAGAGUUUCAAAAUGAGAUGUGAUGAAUUUGUGCUUGAUGUCGGUAAAUAAGUUGAACAAUGAUUUGUGAUGGCAACUUUAUCCAUCAUGUGAUAUUUGGUUGAUUAAAUGGACAACCCCCUUUUUCCAUCAUUCAAGCAGCAACCAAAAACAAUCUAAGAGAAAAUUAAUGUAGGAUUAUUGAACUCGAUGUAGACCACUUUGUCCAUUAUACAUAGGGUUAAAUAGAGUCCGGGAGUAAGAUUCGCAAUAUCAAGAAGCCAAAUUGCGAGCCAAACUUCAGGAGAUUAUAACUUGAUCAUUUGACAUCCAAUUUCGAUGAUUUUUUUAUAAAUUAGAUAGUUUUUUGAGAUCUGCGAUAUGACAUCACCACAUCAAGGAGGCGGUGCCUAUAGUAAUAUGACCAAAAUUUUUUCAUGUUGAUUUCGAUUGGUCAAUCCAAAAUUUUUUUUUUCAGAUAAAAUCUCGAACAAGCAAAGCUUCCUAUCCAAAAAGAAUCUGAUGAAGUAACAAUAAGUAGAGUUUAUGUAAAAGUCGAUAUUUACCUCUUAAAGAGUUUUAACUUUUUCUCGAUUAUUUUUACUAUAUAUAUUUAUUUUAGGUAAAAGAGUCUCAUUAGAACUAAAAAAAGAAUUUGAUCCAAUAUAUGUAAGGAUAGAUAUCAUUAUUAUAAAUAGAGGAUAUAUAUACACUAUUUUUAAUCAAUAAAAAAUAAAAAAGAAAGAAAAGAGACUUAAGUUCUACUUUUGAAAAAUUUGCCUCUUCUUCUGUAUUUUCUUUAUGAGCUUCAAGUUGAGCGGAUCGAAAAAAAUUUUUCCUCUCCCUGAUCGGAUCAUUAAAAGAUUAUUGGAUUUUGUUGAGGAAAUUGUUAAAAAUCAUUGAUUCAACCACUGCCUCAAUUUAUCAAUCUAAUAUGAAAGAUGGUUUAUUGAUUGAGAGGUAGAUUGGGCCCAACUAGUACCAUCAAUCCUAUAGUGUACUGCACCAAUCUUCGAGUAUUGCAUUAAUCUAGAAUAUAUUUAGUUGGUGAGAGUUGAACUCUAGAAUGAGAAUGAAAAUGAAUAACUCCUAUUUCAACCAUUUGAUUGAGAGAGUGUCGUUCCAAAGCUCCCAAAAUUUAGUUCUUACUCUUCUUUAGUAUUCAAAGUCCAUUUCAAUUUUGAUUUUUGUCCUGAACUAAAUGCAUCUAAUGAUAUAGUUAUUUUAAUUCAUAUUCAAAUCAUUCCAAUUUUGACUCCAAUCACAGAAUAAAUAUGCCCCUGAAGGAUUGGGCAAUCAUUUGAUGGAUCACCGUAGCAUUAUUAUAGGGUUCACGUCUACCCACAAAUGAAUCACUUCGGCUAACGAGGAGUAGGAUCCAAUAUUUUUUAACUUGAAGCCUAAAAAACUUGAAAAUAGUUGGGGUUGGUCAAAACCAACCUCUUCCAAACUUACUUGUUCAAAACUAUAGAGAAGAAGCCAUUCCAAUCGCUUGGUUGGGAGAGUGUCAUUUCCAUUUCGAAUUCAGAAAGAAUGAAAAUAUCCUAAUCCUUGAUAGUGUUUGACAGCCAUUUUGGUAUUCUGGGAAUAGAAAUAUCAAUUUCCUAGAAUACCUAUUCACCGUUCCUAUUCGAAUUUUAUAUUUGGUUGGAAAUUUAUGGGAUCCACCAAAAUUAUACAUUGCUAUUCCUUAAACUAGAAUAAGAUGAAAUUAUUUCUCAUCAUUUCUCUAAAAUAAGCUAUUCCAUGGUGAAAUAUGAAAUAGCUUAAAUCAAGUGGAAGGAAAUAAGGUGCAAUUAAUGCACCUUUGUCCCAAAUUGUAAAACCCGUGGGCCCCACUGCCAUUUCAUAGUGUGUUCGGAGGAAUAAGAUAGAAUAAGCCCUUAUUCCACCUUAUUCCCAGCAACCAAACGCUAUCUUAGGUAGGGUUUGGAUGCCUUAAUUCUAGGUGGAAUAAGGAUUUAUUUCACCUUAUUCCCCCAAAUAGGUGAAAAUGGCAUGGUGGGCCAUCCUGGUUUAGCAAUGUCCAUCAACCCUUCUUUAUUCCCAUCUAUCAUGAUUUAGCUAUUCCAUGAUGGAUCAUAGAAUAGCUUAUUCUAGAUACUUAAUGAAUAUUAAUUGCAUCUUAUUCUAAGUAUAUGGAAUAACAGAGCAUUAAUUGCAUUUUAUUUUAGAUGGAAUAACAGAUUUUCAAUCAAACAGAAAUCUAAAAUAACAAAGAUGAAUAGCUAUUCUCUGUAAAUUCGUAUUUCUAUUCCAAAAAUAAGAAAAGGGUAUCUAAAUACUAUCUUAAAAUUUAAUCCCUAUUCUUUUCUAGUAUUCAAGGUCUAUUUUGAUUCUGAUUUUGAUUACAAACUAAACGCAUCUAAAGAUAUAGUCAUUCUAAUUUCUAUCCCAAUUCAUUUCGAUUUUGACUUCAGUCGUCGCUAAACAUGACCCUAAAGGUCUAGACUGUCAUUUGAUGGGUAAUUGUAGCACUUUUAUUGGGUUUACGCCCAACCCCAACUGAAUCACUUUCUUGAAACCUAAAAGCCUUGAGCCCUAUAAACGGUUGGUCAAAACCAACCUGGUUGAUUCAAACUUAUUCAUUCAAAUCGGAGAGGAGAAUUUUAUCAAAAAAAAAAAAAAAAAAACAGGGAGGAGAAGGCGGUUCAUCGGAGAGGUGUAGGUGGCUCACAAGUCUCCUUCAUGAUGGGGUCGACGAACACGGGACGGAUCACUUAUUCCACGAGUAACACGAGCCAAAUUAGAUUUUAUAGCAAGAAAAUUUGAAGCGUUCUUCUAAGCUCACAUUAUAUGUAGGUCCCUCGCGUAAGUGCUUAUACGAUGACAGAAUCGGUCAAGGCUACCCCGCGCGAUCUACACCGUCCAAUUAUUCGGACGACUCCGCGUUCUCUUCAGCCAAUGGGGAAGGAGGCCAUUUUGUUGGGAGAGCAGCCCUAAUUUAACACACGAGUAGACUAACAAUUCUGACACAGCUCAGGACGAGUGCACGAGAGCUUCCACAUUGUGGGGCCCACAAUCGGAGCACGUGAUUUGUGGCCAUUAAGCAUACGCUAACCCUGAUUCGUCAGCUCAUACGUUAGACAUUAAGCUAAUCCAGUAUUUGUUUGUGAGGGAGGGACGAGGCGGAGGCCCCAGGGAGCUUCCAAAGUUUGCUCCGCACAUAACGAUGGUCCGAAAACGCCAUCGCUGAACUGCCACAAUCACAGAAAUGCCAUAGCGCGUUACAUUACUACAAGCAUGGCGCUGGUGUUACCAAUUAUUUUGUGGUAAGGGAGGGGCAUUUUCUUCCUUGUCCUUCUAUUAAUAGCAAUUAGCCCUAGACGCGCGGCAGCUGUCUUGGCUGUCCGUUCAUAACCCACGCGAGAGUGGGGGGAAGAACGCCAUCGCUCCGAGCCCUAACCCCAACUUGCGAGCCUUGUUCCCCUCUUCCAAAAACUCGCCAGUGAUGGAUCUCUCUGAGAAAUCUCGCCAAUCGCUUCUUCCGAAUUUCCUCUACUCCUCGUCGGCCACCAGGAGCCUCGCCCUCGAGAGGGUCGUGAGCCGGAACCCUGGGUCGCCAGCGCCUCCGCCGUCGAAUGGCGGCGCAUCGCAGGGAUCGUUCCUCAUCCAGGCCCCGAGCGAGCCCAGGAAGAUCGCGCUGUACUCGCCGGCGUACUACGCCGCCUGCACCGCCGGCGGGAUCGCCAGCUGUGGGCUCACCCACACGGCCGUCACGCCGCUCGAUCUCGUCAAGUGCAACAUGCAGGUGAGCACGAUCUGUUUUCUUGGGGCCUUUGAUCCGGAUAUUGGAGCUUUGGAUUCCAUUUCUUUGGGAUUCUUAAGGGAUUCUUGUUGGAUUGUAGAUUUCUUGUUAUCGAUCCUCUUUCGUUAGUUCUAGGUUGCAUAUGAAGUUUGUCCCUAUUUUUCUUCGUUUUAACUUUGUGGGUAUGCUUUUAGAAUAGAUGAGCUUGAGAUCUGGCCCUUUGGAUGUCAGGAUCUACAUCCAGAAACUUCUUUUUUCUUAUUUUCUUUCGUUUGACCGAUUGCUGUUCAAUAUGGUGUUGGAAAUAUGUUAUGUCUUUGAUGAUCUGUUCUUGCUUGUGGUUUCUUUAAAAUUUAAAAAAAAAUCUAAAAUGGUAGAUCUGAAACCUGUACCCUUUGGUUAUGGGUUUCUGGAUCUGCACUUAUUGAUUGAUUUAUCCUGAUUGUUGUCUGCUUUGGUUUUGAAUGAAUUUGAAAUUACUUCCUGGAGUUAAAAUUCGAAUCGUGCUGUUGAUUUUUUUGGAAAUUCUUUGCCUUUAUUACAUCUUUUGUUUGUUCCAUUUUGUACGAUAUUUUGCCUGUUAAUACCUACAGUAGUUGGUAAUUUGAACUUUCUUAUUUGUUAGUAGAUGAAUGUUUUGGAAUUGUGUUUUGACAUUGGCUCUCGGACUUGUGGUAUGUGCUAUGAAGCUUUUUCAUUUCUUAAGGUUAUUGGGAAGUUUCUAUUUUUAAUGUGCCUCGUUCGUUUGUCCCAUUUAUGGACAAUAUCACUUGUCGAUCUGUAAGGUUAUUUGGAAUUUGAAAUUUCCUUGACGGGUGGCUGAAAAAUUUCUUUUGUUUGUUAACUAGUAUCACUUUUUAAAAUUGUGUUUUGACGUUUUCUAUUUGGUUUCUGAUAUGUGUAUUUUGAUAUGAAUGUAGUUGCCUAUAUGAAAUAUUGCCUUCCAUCGAUGUAGAUGGAUGAUUUCUUUUCUUUUCUUUUCUUUCUUUUUCUUUUUUCACCUCAUCAUUUCAGUUUAGUGUUUAUAGAUUGAUCCACGUGACAUUGAGUUUUUGUUGGGUUUUUCAGAUUGACCCAUCUAAGUACAAAAGCAUCACAUCAGGAUUUGGUGUGUUGCUUAGAGAGCAGGGGUUGAGAGGUUUCUUCAAGGGCUGGGUGCCAACCUUGCUUGGUUACAGUGCCCAGGGGGCAUGUAAAUUCGGGUUCUAUGAGUUCUUCAAGAAGUACUACUCGGACAUUGCUGGACCUGAGUUUGCUGCCAAGUACAAGACCUUGAUCUACCUUGCUGGGUCUGCUUCGGCAGAAGUGAUUGCUGAUGUUGCUCUCUGCCCCAUGG
This 56121-nucleotide long non-coding RNA is filed under the name Elaeis guineensis (African oil palm). RNAcentral describes it as "long non-coding RNA (EGUI_LNC028787)". Lineage: Eukaryota; Viridiplantae; Streptophyta; Magnoliopsida; Arecales; Arecaceae. The record is from RNAcentral.